CUCAUCUCAUUCCUUCUAUAAAUAUCUUGGCAAUGUGCAUACUAUAUUGUUGUUGAUCUUCAAAAUAAUUGUUGGAUAUACAUAUAUCCAGUUUGCGAGAUGGAGUUAAAAGUGGGAAAUUUGAACAUGCGAAGAAGGUUUUGUCCCCUUCCCCGUCGUCGGAAGUCUAUCAUCUAGAAUGUGGGUCUAGUAGCCACUGCUUUAGUUGCGAUCCUCCUAGCUGCAAUAAUUGUAUAGAUGGAACUUGCAACUUGCUCAAAUUCAAAAACACUUCAGCUCUCUGCUUGUAGUACUAAUAAAGGCAGAAAUAAUUAUGCACAAUAAGAUCAAUUUUGAUCUGAGUAAAAAUAUUCUAUUAUAUUUAGUGCAUUCUCAUGGACGUAUUAAUUUGUGAAAAUGAAUAGUUUUUCUUUGAGUGCUGUUAUUUCCACCCAUUUGUCCUAUUUUUCUACCCACUUUAUUUUCAAAAUUUUAAAGACAAAUUUACCCAUUUAUAAAAUGACUUAUGAGGAUAACUCUCUCAGUCUCUCACACACGCACCCACACCCACAACCAUAUUUUCUUUUUCUUUUUCUUUUUGUUCAAAAUCGACACCCAUCUUCAUACCUAACCCAUCAAACAAAAUGAAGUCAACAUCUAUAACUCCCUGUGUUCUUCACUAGAAGAAAACCUAAACUUACAAACUCAUAAUCCCAAUUUUAUUUUCAGUCACACAUAAUCCAAUCAUUUUUCUUUCUUCUCUAACUCUAAAGCUCAUGUAGUCCCGUAUUACAUCGACUUUGAGCUUUUGGGCAACUCUAAAACUGACAGAAACACAUGGUCAUUUCCUUUUCUUCCUUUGUCUCUUUCUUUCCUUUUAAUUUCAAACUCAAAUAACACCUCUCUUGCAGUCUUUGAAAUUAAAAAUAAAAUAAAGCAAAUGUGUUUUCAUUUUCUGGAACAGAUAGAGCAAUCAAUCUGAGUUUGUUUGUUUUUUUGUUUGUUUUUGUUUUUGUGGGUGAUAGGAAGGGGAGUGUUAGGAGGAGAGUUUUCCUUUGGUUGAAGAAGGAGAGUUAAAUGUUUGUAAGGUCAUGGUGUUGAUUGUUGGAUUUUCCCCAAGGGAGAAGGUUGGGGUGGUGGGAGAGGGAGGGGGAGGGAGAGGGCAAUUGGGGUGGGGAUAGGCUAAUUGAAGAAUUCUUUUAUUGCUUUUUAUAUAUUUUUUUUCUUGUAAUAGCAAAUAUGGAAAUACAAUUAGAGGGUAUUUUAGGAAUAGUAGUGGGUGGAAAAAUAGGUUUGUAUUUAUUCAAAUUUAUAUGAUGGAUGAGAAGAUAAGGUGGGUGGGGAAAUAGGACAAGCGCGUGAAAAUAGCAGCACUCUUUUCUUUUUGUUGUGUUUUUUUCAAUCAUUGAAAGAGUGAAGAUCUAUCGUUUAAUUCGUUGCUUCAUUUGUCAAAAUGAUUCGAAUUGUUUUAAAUUAACAUUACAAAACAAUUUAAAUAAUUUGAUUCAGUCUAGCUAGAGUGUGACCAAUACUUAUUAAUGUAAAAAUAUACUAUUUCAUGGACUAACAUAGGUUAAAAAAGUCUUGGAAUAAAAUUAAUAAAUCCAAUGCUAAUAGUAAUCGACGCUUCAAAUCAAAAUGAUGCCUUUAAUUCAAUUUUGUUUGGGCCACCCUUUUGUCUAAUGUUUGUUCUUCUCAUGAAAAUAAUAUAAUUUGAGUAAUGUAUUUUCUAUCAAUAUUAAUUUAUAGAAUAAUACUAGUCUUACCAUAUUUCUAUACCAUGAUUUUAUAGCACAUGAUGUGGCAGUUGAUGUGUAUAUACCACAUUAGCUAAUUAAUGUGAUUAAUACUUUUUUUUUUCUCUUUAUUAAAAUUUAGGACAAACUACAUAAAACCCCUCAACUUAUAAGGUCAUUUACAAGUUCAUACCCGUUUUUAGAGACAUUUACCAGUACAUACUCAACGUCACGGAAACCCUACAAUUUGCCCCUUCCGUUACACAAAUCAUUAAUGAAUCUGUUAAAUGCUGUUGUGGCAAAAAUGAAACUUAUUUUUUAAUUGAAGUGGACUUACAUGUGGACAAAUAAAUAAUUUUUAAAUCAUAUUAAAAUAAUUAAAAAAUUCUCCACUCUCUUCUCCUACCCAGCCAACCCUCUCUUCCUCCUGACUCAACCCUACCUCUCAGCCACCCCUCUCCCGUCGCUCACCCCAAAACCCUACGAAAAAAAAUCAAAAAAAAUAAAAUAAAAUAAAUAAAUAAAACCAGGCCAGUUGCCAUAACCCACCAAACUCAAAUCAAUUUCAAAACCUAAUUUGUACUUGGUCAAUUUAUUGAUCAAAUUCAAAUUUGAAUUCAAACCCUAAGGUUGCAGAACACUAAAAAGCCCCAAUUUCAGACUUCGCUCGAUCAAAGGAGGAGCUUUAUGUGGCUGAGGAGAUUGAUGACCUUGUGGUGGAUUCGGAAACUUGGAGUUUAAUAAAUUUUAACAAACUUUAAUAAAUGAAUUUGAAGACAGAACAAACAACUAAAACAAAAUGGGUAGCCAGCAACCAUUAGUGGAGUUCUAUGCUCAGGAACAAAAUUUCGAGCCUUUCUGAGUGCUAUACCACAAUCCAAUCUCACAGAGAGGGGCUGGGAAGGCGGUGAGGUUGGCUGGGUUGGGAAGACAGAGGGCGAGAGAUUUUCACUGUUUAUUUAUUUAUUUAAUAUAAUUUAACCUUUUUUUUUUAAUAUUUGAAAAAAACAAAAGAAUUGUUUAUUAUAUAUUUUGGUCACACAUGGAAUUCACGUCAUAAAAUUGGGGGUCACAUUUGCCACAUUAGCAUUUAACAGAUUCAUUAACGGUUUGUGUAAUGGAGGGGGCAAAUUGUAGGGUUUCCGUGACGUUGAGUAUGUAUUGGUAAAUGUCUCCAAAAUCGGGUAUGAACUUGUAAAUGACCCUAUAAGUUGGGGGGUUUUAUGUAGUUUGUCCUAAAAUUUACUUCGUUGAUUUAAAUGAUGUGGCAUAUAAUAUGGACAUGUCACAUCAUGUGGUAUAGAAAAUUGAGAUAAAAAUAUGGUAAGUGUAAGCAUUACUCAAAUUUAUAUUUUCCAGAGUAAAAAUAAAAAUAAAAAUCAUUAAAAUAUAUUAAUCCCGAUGGAUCCAUAAUUAAUAUUGAAUGGUAGUAAAUGUUAAAUGUUGGGAACAGAUUUGCAACGUAUAGGUCCCUCACAUAGGCUUAACGCAUUUGGUACAAUUUAAUUUUAAACAAGAAAUUGGGUUUUUUUGUGUGGAAAUUUUGGAUUUGUUGUUGAUUGUGCAUUUUAAUGCUUUCUUUUAGAGAAAAAAAAAAGAUUGGAAAAAAGAAUGUCCAACUAUAAUUAUUAAAAUAAAAACGGAAAUUUGUCUCAAUAAAAACGGAAAUGUUUUCAAUAAAAACGGAAAAUUUAAUGUCAUCAUGUACAGAAUUAGCUAGACAAAGAAGAACAAUAAAAACAAUUUGUGGCCAUAAAAAAAAUUGCAUAUACGCACAUACAGUUAGAGAAUCACACAGACAUGAUCUUUAAUACAAUGAAUACAAAACCCCUAUAAAUAUUGCCCUGCAGACUCACAAACAAUAUCACCACUAAUCUAAGAGAGGAGAAUUUCAGUACUAAACUAGAAACCAAUUACUCCUACUUAGAAAAAUGGUGAAGGCUUCCUCCAUAACAGUGUGCUUGCUUCUCCUCCUUGUUGUGGCACAUGGUAAGCAUAUCCUCAUCUCAUCCCUUUUAUAAAUAUCUUGGUAAUGUGCAUACUAUAUUGUUGUCCAUCUUCAAAUUAAUUGUUGGAUAUACAUAUAUUUAGGUUUGCGCGAUGGAGUUAAAAGUGGGAAAUUUGAACAUGCGAAGAAGGUUUCAUCCCCUUCUCCGUCGUCGGAAGUCUAUCAUCUAGAAUGUGAAUCUAGUAGCCAGUGCUAUGGCUGCAAUCCUCCUAGCUGCAACAAUUGUAUAGAUGGAACUUGUGCUUGUUACUGCUGAAAAGAUAUCAAGAAUAAGCUUGUAACUUGCUCAAAUUCAAAAACACUUCAGCUCUCUGCUUGUAGUACUAAUAAAGAAGAUCAAUUUUGAUCUGAGUAAUAAUAUUCUAUUAUAUUUAGUGCAUUCUCAUUGACGUAUUAAUUUCUGAAUAUGAAUCGUUUUUCUUUUCGUUGUGUUUUUUUCAAUCAUCGGAAGAGUGAAGAUUUAUCGUUUAAUACGUUGCUUCAUUUGUCAAAAUGAUACGAAUUGUUUUAAAUUAACAUUACAAAACAAUUUAAAUAAUUUGAUUCAGUCUAGCUAGUGUGACCAAUACAUGAUUUUAAGGGUACAACUCUCUAAGAUACCAAAAUGUAAUUGAAAUUAAUCCAAUUUAAAAUAUAUUUGCAUAUUUAUUUUUUAUGAUUGACAUAUUUUAUAUUUGGUUAUCUUGUGAAAUCUGCUUCUGCCGCGCACAAUAAUGGGGGAGUGUUGGUGCGUUUUGGUCGAUAAAAGUGUCACAUUUCCAACUCCAUCGUUGGGAUUCUGGGAUGAACAAAACAUUUCCAACUGUUGGAUUUUUCAUAUCUGUUAUACCUGUUUCGAUUUGUUAUUCAGUGGGAUAUCCUCAUCUCAUCCCUUUUAUAAAUAUCUUCGUAAUGUGCAUACUAUAUUGUUGUUCUGUGGGAUACCCUCAACAAAAGCAUGGACAAUCGAUUCCGUUGUCUCUCAGGUUUUCUUAAUAAGAAAGAGUAGCAGUAUUUCAUAUUGCUAAUGUUGGAAUUUUAAAAAGGUUUUAAAAAAAUUUACCGUUUUGAUUUUUUAAAAUUAUUUUGGUUGUUUUAUAUUUUAUUUAUUGUUGGGUUAUAAAUAUUUAAUUUUCAGGUUUUAUUUUUAUAUUGAAUGUCUUAAUGUUCUAGUUUAAUAUGGUGGAGGUUACAUGUUUUUGGAUACCUAUAAAAGGUCACUCCUCCUUCACAUUUGAGAUACUACUAAAAUACCACAAUACAAUAUGUUUUUCUCUUCCUCUACCUUCAUACUUUCUAUACUUUUGAUUAUUAUUUUUGGGCAAUGGUUCUAUGACUUGGAGACUUAUAUUCGACUGUGAACGUGCUCAUAGCGGACCUUGAGCCUGGGUAUUGAGGUUGUGUCAUGGAGUAUUGUAGAUUGUUAGUACCUACCAGGGCUUGCCUUGAGAUUUAGGAGGCCCUGUGCAAAACUUAAACUGAGGCUCUCAAAUAAUCUAAUACAAACUUAUACCUUGGCAUACAAAAAUUUUAUUUUUUAAAAUAAAAAAUAAUCAUCAAUUAGCAUGCAAAUCACUAAUAAAAUUUAUAAAAAAAAUUUGACGUUUCAAUUCGAGAAACUUGAAUGCUAGUAUGUUCAGCAUAAAGACCAGGUUUUUCUUUCAGUGCUUCUAUAUAUAUAAAGCAAAAGGUAGAGAAUGGUGAAACAUUCAAAAUACCAGAAAAUACCCUUGGUUAAUGCAAACAUUAAGAAUUCAAAUUAUUAAUUAAAUGAGGAUAAUAUGAUAAAUUUAUACUUUUUCAUAUUUAAAAAAAUUAAAAGAAAAAGAAAAAGCAGAUAAUGGAUCCUAUUUUUAUGGAACACAACUACCCAUUAUCUUUUUUAAUUCUAAAAUAAAUUUACUUAUUUUUUUUAUAAAAAAUCUCUCGCAAGCACGGAAGCGCGUGCAGAGAGGCUAGUGUUAACUAUAUGAAGACUUGUAUAUAGUAUAAUUAUGUAUAUAUGAAGUGUAUAAAUCAAUCAUCACCCACAACCAAAUAUAAUAUUAUAUAUAUAAACUAUCAAAUAUAUAUGAACUAUAUGCAAUGCUCGUUAUCUUUUAUUAUAUAAUCAAUCAGCGUGAUGAGACAGGCGAGCUCGAACCCACACCAUAAGAGCAACUCCAGCGUGCCCGGGCAAAGGGGGGUUUGGCCCAAAACAGCCUUUCAGCGGAUAAAUGUUGCACGGGCUGUGGGUGGGCUCCACAAGUCUGGGUUGGCCCUCAGGCAAAACCAACCCUCAGUCUAACUUGGGUUUGCUGACGUCAAUGAUGACGUUAGCAACCAAAAAAUAAUUUUAAAAAAUACUAAACUUUUCAAAAUUUUUUUAAAAAUAAAUACUUAGUCAUAUUUUUCACUUUCCACACCAAAACUCUAUACAAAUUCCUCUCCUCAUAUCUCAUGUGAAUAGUGGUUGCCAUGGCAAUGGGUGGAAACACACUUUGCUUUUUGCAAGGGCAGCCACUAUUCACAUGAAUAGUAGCUGCCCUAACUCCCCCUUGCCAUGGCAAAGGGCAAAUGGGUGGAGUUGCUCUAAGUGGAAGUUAAAGUGUAGCAAAACAACGCUGCCAAACUCGUCCUCGUGUGAACGUCCUACGUUGGCUUUAUAUAUAUAUAAUAUUAUAUAUAUAUUUGGGGGUCCUAUGCAGUGGCACCGUCUGAGCAGCUUCAGGGCCGCCUAGGCCUCUACCUUUACGUAGCGAGGUUACAAAGGCUUUAGAAUAGCAUCUCUGACGUGCUUCAUCAUACCAUGCUUGCUUUCUUAAUCUUAAUUUAUUUUUUAUGUGUCUCUUUAGUUAUACUUUAUCUUAAAAAACUUUCUAUUUUGUUCUAUAUAUUAUUUAUAAUAUAAAUCUUUUUGCAUAUGGCUUUAGAGAAAAAAGAAAAACUAUCAUUUUUAUAGCAGCUAACUCCCCCAUGUUCUGUUUCCAUGCUGUAUAAUCAAAAUUGGUACAUAGUUUUGUUGUGCUGUUUCCUACUCUCUUUUGCAGUUGUUACAUUUACUCUCUAAAAUACUCUUAUCGAUAAACAAUAAUAUAAAUUUCUCUUUUUUAAUUACCUUUAAUUAGUAGUUAUGUUUUAAUUAUUAUUUAUUUAAUGUAUUUUAAUAUUUUAAUAAAUUUUAUUUUUAAUCAAUAAUAUGUGAGCACUUUGUGAAUAAUACUUGAAGUUUAUGUGUAUUAUUGAAAAUUUUGUAAAAAUGCAAGUGUAUUAAACAUGAAAAAUACAUACGUACAUGUAUAAUAUGAGUAUUAAACUUGAAGAUGCUAAAUUCUUUAUACGGGUAAUAAUUCUGAAAAAGUAAAAACUUGAAAGGGAACAAUAGAGACUUGUGUAGUGGUUUAAGAGUAAUGGAUAAUGCUCUUAAUUACUCUUAUCAAUAAACAAAAAUCAGGGAAAAUCAAUUAUAUAUAAAAAAAAAAAAUCAAAAUAUCUAUGUAAAGCGUAUAGCCGCAUGGCUAUACUAUCUAAAAAAGUAUUUUAAAAAAAGACCCCAAUAAUGUCUUGCAGCUAUACUCUUUUACAUAAAAAAUAAAAAAAACAUAAUUCGGCGCUAUACUAUUUCUAAAUAAAUAAAUAAAAACCGCCUAGAGCUGAGCGUGUGUUUUUUUAUGAAAAGAGUAUAGCUGCGCGGCUGAAUAGAAUAUUUCAAACGUAUAGCCAAGCAGCUAUACUCUAUAAAUAGAAUUUUUUUUGACAAUGUAGCUGUGCGGCCUUUAAUUAAUAGUUAUGUUUUAAUUAUUAUUUACUUAGUGAAUAAUUAGUUUUUAAAUAUUUUAAUAUAUUUUAUUUUUAAUCAAUAAUAUGUUAAUAGUACGUUAAUUUUGUGUGUGUUAUUGAAAAUUUUGUAUAAAAAAAAAAAUAAGUGUAUUAAACAUGAAAAAUGCAUACACCGUGUAGAAUACGAGUAUUAAACGUGAAAAUGCUAAAUUCUUUAUACAGGUAAUAACUCUGAAAAAGUAAAAACUUAAAAGGAGAGAAUAGAGAUUCAGAUAAUGGCUAAAUAGUAAUAGAUAAUGCUCUAAACUACUCUUAUCGAUAAACAAAAAUUGGAGAUAAACAAUUAUUAAAAAAUAAGAUCACAUUGCUAUUCAAUGGGUAUAGCCCCACGGCUAUAUUAUAUAUAAAAAAAAGAAUUAAAAAAAACGAAGUCGGUUGGCUAUACCCUUUUGAUAUUAAAAAUAAUAAUUUGGCAUAUAGCUGCGCAGUUGUACUAUUCAUAAAUAAAUAAAAGGACUCACCUAGUGCUGAGUGCAUGUAUUUGUGAAAAGAGUAUAGCCCUGUGGCUAUAUUCUAUAAAUAUUGAAACUUCAAACGUAUAGCCGCGCGGCUAUACGCUACAAAUACAAUUGUUUUUAAACGUAUAGCCGAGCGGCUAUACCUAUUGAAUAUCACAAUAUGGAUUUCUCUUUUUUAAUUACUUUAAUUAGUAGUUAUGUUUUAAUUAUUAUUAUUUACUUAGUGAAUAAUUAGUAUUUAAAUAUUUAAAUAUAUUUUAUUUUUAAUCAAUAAUAUGUGAGUACUUUGUGAAUAAUACUUGAAUUUUGUGUGUAUUAUUGAAAAUUUUGUAAAAAAUAAGUGUAUUAAAUAUGAAAAAUACGAUCGUAAGUACAUUUACAAUACGAUUAUUAAAUGUGAAAAUGCUAAAUUCUUUAUACGGGUAAUAACUCUGGAAAAAUAAAAACUCAAACGGAGAGAAUAGAGAUUCGGGUAAUGGCCUAAUAGUAAUGGACAAUACUCUAAACUACUCUUAUCAAUAAACAAAAAUCAAGAUUCAGAUUUUGGGGCCCUGUGCGAAACUUUGAAUUUGAACACAGCAAUCAAUCAGUCAACAAACACCCCUCCUUGAGAUAUUUUAAUGUCAUCUAACGCUUUAAGUCAGAGUGAAACUAUUGUUCACCUUCAUCACUUUUGUAUUGCAUUGUCAAUUUCAAUAGCUUUGUGAAAAUCUUGAAAUGAGUUUCCAUUUCCAGGAGAAAUCAUAUAAUUAUAUAUCAAUGAUUAGAACUGAGAUAACAUGGACUGUAAGAAUGGCAUGUGGUUUGUGUCAGAUAUCAGACACUUUUGUUUCUAUUCUCGAGUUCCAAAUUAUUUGUGUCACUAGACAAAACAACAACAACAAAAAAACCAUUUUUUGUUUUGUGCCAAUCAUUAAUAAUGAUUUACUUGUGAGAUUCUCAUGAUGUUAAGUAAUAUUUUGUCUUCCUUAUUGGGGGUGAGAGAGAGAAGAGGAAGGGCUCUAGCCUCUUCUCUGUGGGGUUUUGUCUCAUACGUCUAUGGUGAGAUAAAAUACAGCAAGCAAAAAGAAAAAAGAAAAAAGAAAUAGAAAUAGAAAAGAAAGACACCCCAGAUACAGCACAAGUUUCUCAAUUCGAUCCCUAGCCCUAGGCCAUGAAAGCACAAGCUGUUGUUUCAUGUCUUAUUCUCUGUUGGAGUUUCUGAAGGAGGGAAGGCCUUCUGUCAUUUAUCAUUUAUGUACAUUUCAUUUCUGAAGCACAAGCUGUUGUUUCAUAUUGUGUUACUCAUGAAUGAGCAAUGAAAACCAUUCAAAUGGCAACGGUCAUGAGAUCCUGGCCAGACAUGCAGCCCUUGAAUUAUUCAUCAACGGCCCAAAAUCACUGGCAUGCGGGGUCCACAUAUAUAUAGGAGCUUCAUAGAGUCGUUUUAUUACGAGGACCGCCAUACAUGAUCAAGUGAGGUGCAGAUGAGGAGAUGGUUUGUUGUCAGAAAUAGAGGCGUCAAACGGGACUGACCGCCUAGCACGGCACGAGUCUAGUCCGUUUAAAUAAGGCAAGGCACGGCACGGCACGAGCACGAAUAUCAAUGGACCGUGCUCAAUACGGAGACAGAUGUACUAGUUGUUGUGGCCCAAACAUUUACGGCAACUAGUUUCCUCAUUUAGUCCUCUCAGGCCAUCUCUAAGGUGUGUAUAAUGCCAUAGGGGUUUUUGCCCCGAACUCCUUUUGUGGACAGCCCAACUCCAGCUGGCGAAAUUCUAUAACGUUGGACCGCCAUAUAUGGACCUCAGACGAGAUCUGUAUUUUUAGCCGCACAAUUAAACUGAGCGGCUUAGAUUUAAAGUUUUUUUAAGCUACAAGACACUCAAUCCUCAUCCUAUCCUUCAAAGGGAUCACGUGCAUCUCUUUUAUCUCUGUUUUGCUCUUUUGACUAGAGGUGUCAAACUGGUCGUACUGGGCCAGUCCGUCCCAUUUAUACUCGUACUUUUAACAUUUUCAUAUCGUCCAUUUAAUUUAUCGGGCUAUGCCGUGCCGGCCCAUUUAGUAAAAUCAUUGAUCCCCCCCGACCCAAAGCCCAUGUCCACAUCGAAACGGGCCGGGCCGGGCUCGUGUCGUGCCCGUGCCAUACUCGGGCCCAAGAACCAACAUAUUUAAUUUGAAUUUUUUCACUUGAUUUUUUUUUCCACUAGAUAAUUCAAAUUAUAAACAUUAAAAAAUAUAAUUAGAGGCAAGAAAUGAUGAACUAUUUGAAAACAUUAAUCAAUCAAACAUCCAAACAAUAUAAAAGGACGGAGGGCAAAAAGUGUCCAACUCUACAAAGUCCACUUCAACUUUUCAUCUUUAAACAACUUAAUAUUUUAUAUGUGAAGAAAUGUCUUGCUUUGAUUAUAAGAGAAGCGUAUAUGUCAUAUGUACUGAUUAGAUAUAAAGUCCAAUGUUGUUUAAUUAAUUUGUAGUUGAUAUGUUUAAUUAAUUAAGGAUCCAAGUAAUUUCUCUAAAAUGAAAGACAUCAAAUAUAUGUUUAUGAUUAUAUAAAAAAAAUAAAAAAACCAUAUAAACAAUGAUAUUAGAUGUCAAAUUUUUGCAUUUUGACAUUUGAGAAAGAAAAAAAAAGUUAAGUGGGCCGUGCUUGAAGUGGGCUCGGGCCAAGCUCGGCCCAUGUCGGCCAGCAAGUCGCAUUGCUUCUUCUCACCCUAGCCACCACCAGCUUCUUCGGUGCAGGUAUUCUACUUUUCCCUGUCUUCCCCUGUAAUUUUGAGUUAAAAGUUGUAACCCAGGGGUUAGUAAUUUUCUUUCUACAUGUAAGCCUUCCUUAAUCUGCUAAAUAUAACUCCUAACACAUGCAUGGUUAAUGUUCUCCAGAGGGAUACGAUUCAUUUGACCCGGAUGCAAAUAUCACCAUGAAAUGGGAUAUUAUGGCAUGGACUGCUGAUGGCUAUGUAGUAAGCAUUUUUAUCUAUUAUCUAUUAUUAAUGUUUUCCUUAGGUUUUUGCUGUGUGAUAUAUACUUACUAUUGAUUGAGGUUUGUUGUCAAAAGUAGAGGUGUCAAAUGGGAUGGACCGGCCUAGCACGGCACGAGCCCAGCCUGUUUAAAUGAGGCACGACACGGUACAAGCACGAAUAUCAAUGGGCCGUGCUCGGCACGGAGACAAAUGUACUAGUUGUUGUGGCCCAAACAAUUACGGCAACUAGUUUCCUCAUUUAGUCCUCUCGGGCCAUCUCUAAGGUGUGUAUAAUGCCAUAGGGGUUUUUGGCCCGAACUCCAUUUGUGGACAACCCAACUCCAGCUGGCGAAAUUCUAUAACGUUGGACCGCCAUAUAUGGACCUCAGACGAGAUUUGUAUUUUUAGCCGCACAAUUAAAUGAGCGGCUUAGAUUUAAAGUUUCUUUUAAGCCACAAGACACUCAAUCCUCAUCCUAUCCUUCAAAGGGAUCACGUGCCUCUCUCUUAUCUCUGUUUUGCUCUUCUGACUAGCGGUGUCAAACGAGCCGUGUCGGGCUGGCCCGUCCCAUUUAUACUUGUACUUUUAACGUUUUCGUGUCGUGCCGGGCCAGUCCAUUUAAUUUAUCGGGCUAUACCGUGACGGCCCAUUUAGUAAAAUCAUUGAUCAUGCCCGACCCAAAGCCCAUGUCCACAUCAAAACGGGCCGGGCCGGGCUCGUGUAAUGCCCGUGCCAUACUCGGGCCCAAGAACCAACAUAUUUAAUUUGAAUUUUUUCACUUCAUUUUUUUUUUUCACUAGAUAAUUCAGAUUAUAAACAUUAAAAAUAUAAUUAGAGGCAAGAAAUGAUGAACUAUUUGAAAACAUUAAUCAAUCAAACAUCCAAACAAUAUAAAAGGACGGAGGGCAAAAAGUGUCCAACUCUACAAAGUCCACUUCAACUUUUCAUCUUUAAACAACUUAAUAUUUUAUAUGUGAAGAAAUGUCUUGCUUUGAUUAUAAGAGAAGCGUAUAUGUCAUAUGUACUAAUUAGAUAUAAAGUCCAAUGUUGUUUAAUUAAUUUGUAGUUGAUAUGUUUAAUUAAUUAAGGAUCCAAGUAAUUUCUCUAAAAUGAAAGACAUCAAAUAUAUGUUUAUGAUUAUAUAAAAAAAAUAAAAAAACCAUAUAAACAAUGAUAUUAGAUGCCAAAUUUUUGCAUUUUGACAUUUGAGAAAGAAAAAAAAAAGUUAAGUGGGCCGUGCUUGAAGCGGGCUCGGGCCAAGCUCGGCCCAUGUCGGCUAGCAAGUCGCAUUGCUUCUUCUCACCCUAGCCACCACCAACUUCUUCGGUGUAGGUAUUCUACUUUUCCCUGUCUUCCCCUGUAAUUUUGAGUUAAAAGUUGUAACCCAAGGGUUAGUUAUUUUCUUUCUACAUGUAAGCCUUGCUUAAUCUGCUUAAUAUAACUCCUAACACAUGCAUGGUUAAUGUUCUCCAGAGGGAUACGAUUCAUUUGACCCGGAUGCGAAUAUCACCAUGAAAUGGGAUAUUAUGGCAUGGACUGCUGAUGGCUAUGUAGUAAGCAUUUUUAUCUAUUAUCUAUUAUUAAUGUUUUCCUUAGGUUUUUACUGUGUGAUAUAUACUUACUAUUGAUUGAGGUUUGUUAUCAAAAGUAGAGGUGUCGAAUGGGAUGGGCCGGCCUAGCACGGCACGAGCCCAGCCCGUUUAAAUGAGGCACGACACGGUACAAGCACGAAUAUCAAUGGGCCGUGCUCGGCACAGAGACAAAUGUACUAGUUGUUGUGGCCCAAACAAUUACGGCAACUAGUUUCCUCAUUUAGUCCUCUCGGGCCAUCUCUAAGGUGUGUAUAAUGCCAUAGGGGUUUUUGGCCCGAACUCCAUUUGUGGACAACCCAACUCCAGCUGGCGAAAUUCUAUAACGUUGGACCGCCAUAUAUGGACCUCAGACGAGAUUUGUAUUUUUAGCCGCACAAUUAAAUGAGCGGCUUAGAUUUAAAGUUUCUUUUAUGCCACAAGACACUCAAUCCUCAUCCUAUCCUUCAAAGGGAUCAAGUGCCUCUCUCUUAUCUCUGUUUUGCUCUUCUGACUAGAGGUGUCAAACGGGCCGUGUCAGGCUGGCCCGUCCCAUUUAUACUUGUAUUUUUAACGUUUUCGUGUCGUGCCGGGCCAGUCCAUUUAAUUUAUCGGGCUAUACCGUGACGGCCCAUUUAGUAAAAUCAUUGAUCAUGCCCGACCCAAAGCCCAUGUCCACAUCGAAACGGGCCGGGCCGGGCUCGUGUAAUGCCCGUGCCAUACUCGGGCCCAAGAACCAAUAUAUUUAAUUUGAAUUUUUUCACUUGAUUUUUUUUCCACUAGAUAAUUCAAAUUAUAAACAUUAAAAAUAUAAUUAGAGGCACGAAAUGAUGAACUAUUUGAAAACAUUAAUCAAUCAAACAUCCAAACAAUAUAAAAGGACGGAGGGCAAAAAGUGUCCAACUCUGCAAAGUCCACUUCAACUUUUCAUCUUUAAACAACUUAAUAUUUUAUAUGUGAAGAAAUGUCUUGCUUUGAUUAUAAGAGAAGCGUAUAUGUCAUAUAUACUGAUUAGAUAUAAAGUCCAAUGUUGUUUAAUUAAUUUGUAGUUGAUAUGUUUAAUUAAUUAAGGAUCCAAGUAAUUUCUCUAAAAUGAAAGACAUCAAAUAUAUGUUUAUGAUUAUAUAAAAAAAAAAAUAUAAAAAACCAUAUAAACAAUGAUAUUAGAUGUCAAAUUUUUGCAUUUUGACAUUUGAGAAAGAAAAAAAAGAGUUAAGUGGGCCGUGCUUGAAGCGGGCUCGGGCCAAGCUCGGCCCAUGUCGGCCAGCAAGUCGCAUUGCUUCUUCUCACCCUAGCCACCACCAGCUUCUUCGGUGCAGGUAUUCUACUUUUCCCUGUCUUCCCCUGUAAUUUUGAGUUAAAAGUUGUAACCCAAGGGUUAGUUAUUUUCUUUCUACAUGUAAGCCUUGCUUAAUCUGCUUAAUAUAACUCCUAACACAUGCAUGGUUAAUGUUCUCCAGAGGGAUACGAUUCAUUUGACCCGGAUGCGAAUAUCACCAUGAAAUGGGAUAUUAUGGCAUGGACUGCUGAUGGCUAUGUAGUAAGCAUUUUUAUUUAUUAUCUAUUAUUAAUGUUUUCCUUAGGUUUUUGCUGUGUGAUAUAUACUUACUAUUGAUUGAGGUUUUUAUGGGGUACUGGGCUUGGGAUGUGUCAUUUUAAUGGUAUAGUGAGCCACAAAUAAUUGGGUUUUUCUGGGUUUCUAUUUUGAUGGUUUUUCAAUUGAGUUUCUGGUAUUCAUGCAGAAAAUUGCAUAAAUCAGUCCUCUUACUAAAACCAUGCUCUUAUAAAUUAUAAUUUUGUGGGAGAUUUGAAUGAGUUUCAAAUUGGGGGACAGUAAUAUGGGUAUGUGGGUACGAUUUUUUGGAAGAGCUGAAUGGCCUUGAUGGAGUUGGGGCUGUUUACGGAGAGAGGCUGGUGUGGUGGGCUAGGGGGCUGAGGGAGAAGGCUAGGGAAGUGGGGGAAGAGGUGUCAAAAAGGACAGGCCGGCCCAGCCCACUUAAAUGAGGCACACGAAUAUCAAUGAGCCGUGCUCGGCACGGCACAAAAACUUGGGUCAAGCCAGGAUAAAAAAUGAGGUCCAAUGGAUCGGGCUGGCCCACGGCCCGACAUGAGCCGGGCUUGGCCUGAGCCCGCUUCAAGCACGGCCUGAGCCCAAGCCCGCUUCAAGCACGGCCCAUGUCAGGCCCUUUUAUAUUGUUUAGAUGUUUGAUUGAUUAAUGUUUUCAAAUAGUUCAUUAUUUCUUGGCUCUAAUUAUAUUUUCAAUGUUUAUAAUUUGAAUUAUCUAGUGGAAAAAAAAAAAUCAAGUGAAAAAUUUCAAAUUAAAUAUGUUGGUUCUUGGGCCCAAGUAUGGUACGAGCACAAGCACGAGCACGACACAAGCCAGGCCCGGCCCGUUUCAAUGGGGACAUGGGCUUUGGGUCGGGCGGGAUCAAUGAUUUUACUAAAUGGGCCGACAUGGUAUAGCCCGAUAAAUUAAAUGGACUGGCCCGACACGAUACGAAAACGUUAAAAGUACGUAUAUAAAUGGGACGGGCCGGCCCAACACGGCCCGUUUGACACCUCUAAGUGGGGGUGAUGGGUUUUUUUUUUAAUUUUAUUAAAAGUUUUUCAUUUUGCAAAGAAUUUAUUAAAGGUUUAAUUUCGGAGUUAAUAGGUAGACAAGUGUCAAACAACUAGAGAGGGAACAUAGAAAUGACAUCAAAUUGGAGACAACAGAUCUGCGCCAAAACAGUGUUGUGUUUUUGUUGCAUUAUAUUUUUGUGGGCCUGGGUUGGGCUUUAGUUCAUUUCAGUUCUCUUUUAAUCAAUUAGAAUUUUGUAUUAAUUUAUAAUAAAAAAAGUUAUCUGUAUUUAUGUUAUUUUAGGAUAUGUUUUUUCAAUUGGAUGCAUAUAAAUUUGACAUGGAUUUAAAUGAAUAGACCUACAUAGCACUAUAUAAUUACCAGCGCUAUCAACACAUCCGAGCUCCUGGAUGGUCAAUUGGAUGGACAAGCACAAGCACGGGCACGACACAAGCCCGGCCCAGCCCGUUUCAAUGGGGACAUGGGCUUUGGGUCGGGCAGGAUCAAUGAUUUUACUAAAUGGGCAGGCAUGGUAUAGCCCGAUAAAUUAAAUGGACUGCCCCGACACGAUACGAAAACGUUAAAAGUAAGUAUAUAAAUGGGACGGGCCGGCCCAACACGGCCCGUUUGACACCUCUAAGUGGGGGUGAUGGGUUUUUUUUUUUAAUUUUAUUAAAAGUUUUUUUUUUUGCAAAGAAUUUAUUAAAAGUUUAAUUUCGGAGUUAAUAGGUGGACAAGUGUCAAACAACUAGAGAGGGAACAUAGAAAUGACAUCAAAUUGGAGACAACAGAUUUGCGCCAAAACAGUGUUGUGUUUUUGUUGCAUUAUAUUUUUGUGGGCCUGGGUUGGGCUUUAGUUCAUUUCAGUUCUCUUUUAAUCAAUUAGAAUUUUGUAUUAAUUUAUAAUAAAAAAAAGUUAUCUGUAUUUAUGUUAUUUUAGGAUAUUUCAUUAUUGUGGUUUUUUCAAUUGGAUGCAUAUAAAUUUGACAUGGAUUUAAAUGAAUAGACCUACAUAGCACUAUAUAAUUACCAGCGCUAUCAACACAUCAGAGCUCCUGGAUGGUCAAUUGGAUGGACAAGCACAAGCACGGGCACGACACAAGCCCGGCCCAGCCCGUUUCAAUGGGGACAUGGGCUUUGGGUCGGGCGGGAUCAAUGAUUUUACUAAAUGGGCAGGCAUGGUAUAGCCCGAUAAAUUAAAUGGACUGGCCCGACACGAUACGAAAACGUUAAAAGUACGUAUAUAAAUGGGACGGGCCGGCCCAACACGGCCCGUUUGACACCUCUAAGUGGGGGUGAUGGGUUUUUUUUUUUAAUUUUAUUAAAAGUUUUUCUUUUUGCAAAGAAUUUAUUAAAAGUUUAAUUUCGGAGUUAAUAGGUGGACAAGUGUCAAACAACUAGAGAGGGAACACAGAAAUGACAUCAAAUUGGAGACAACAGAUCUGCGCCAAAACAGUGUUGUGUUUUUGUUGCAUUAUAUUUUUGUGGGCCUGGGUUGGGCUUUAGUUCAUUUCAGUUCUCUUUUAAUCAAUUAGAAUUUUGUAUGAAUUUAUAAUAAAAAAAGUUAUCUGUAUUUAUGUUAUUUUAGGAUAUUUCAUUAUUGUGGUUUUUUCAAUUGGAUGCCUAUAAAUUUGACAUGGAUUUAAAUGAAUAGACCUACAUAGCACUAUAUAAUUACCAGCGCUAUCAACACAUCCGAGCUCCUGGAUGGUCAAUUGGAUGGACAAGCACAAGCACGGGCACGACACAAGCCCGGCCCGGCUCGUUUCAAUGGGGACAUGGGCUUUGGGUCGGGCGGGAUCAAUGAUUUUACUAAAUGCGCCGUCAUGGUAUAGCCCAAUAAAUGAAAUGGACUGGCCCGACACGAUACGAAAACGUUAAAAGUACGUAUAUAAAUGGGACGGGCCGGCCCAACACGGCCCGUUUGACACCUCUAAGUGGGGGUGAUGGGUUUUUUUUUUUUUUUUAUUAAAAGUUUUUCUUUUUGCAAAGAAUUUAUUAAAAGUUUAAUUUCGGAGUUAAUAGGUGGACAAGUGUCAAACAACUAGAGAGGGAACAUAGAAAUGACAUCAAAUUGGAGACAACAGAUCUGCGCCAAAACAGUGUUGUGUUUUUGUUGCAUUAUAUUUUUGUGGGCCUGGGUUGGGCUUUAGUUCAUUUCAGUUCUCUUUUAAUCAAUUAGAAUUUUGUAUUAAUUUAUAAUAAAAAAAGUUAUCUGUAUUUAUGUUAUUUUAGGAUAUUUCAUUAUUGUAGUUUUUUCAAUUGGAUGCAUAUAAAUUUGACAUGGAUUUAAAUGAAUAGACCUACAUAGCACUAUAUAAUUACUAACGCUAUCAACACAUCCGAGCUCCUGAAUGGUCAAUUGGAUGGACCUGGCCAAAAAAAGGAAGUCAUUUGGUCUAUGCUUGGAGCGGAAGCAACGGAGAUAGGGAAUUGUUCAUCUUUUAAAGAUGCAAUCCCUGUUGAAAAGUAAAUUGCUUACUAAUUUCUUGUUAGUAAAUGAUUUACCUCUUAGAUUUAUCCCUUGUCCUUUUGUGUAACUGCCUUCUGUUGUAGUAGCUUGAGCUCAUACGCCAAGUGUAGGGUCUUAGAUCAGCUGUCAUCUUCAAUGGCUCAUAUGCCUUGUAAGUGCCAUGUGUCAUAAUCACACUGGCUCAUGUAUUUGAAAGGUUGUGAUGACUGAUGUAAGGAAAUGAGCUGUAUGAAUGAAAGAAACAUCAUUCUGCAACGAACAGAAUGUUGCAGUGAUUAUUCUCCUUCCUUCUGCUCUCUCAUUCUUCUUUUCAUUCUCUCUAGCUCCUUUCGUAAUCCAAAACUUUAACAUGGUAUCGCGAGCCUAGGUUCUAUUUGGAAUCGGGGCAUCGGAUCUGUGAGUAUUGUGCUCGGAAAUCCAACGUGAAGGUUUUGGAGGAGGUGGUGGUGGUGGUGGUGGUGGCAGUGGGGGUGGUUGUGGGGGUAGUGAAUGUGGUGGUGCAAGUGGUGGAAUUGGAUGUGGAAGUGGAGGUGGUGUCAUUUUUUAAAAUGAAUAAUGGUAUUUUUGAGAAUUUAAAAAAUUCAUUAAGGGUUCAACUCUGCUUCUUUUGAAAGCAACUUUGAAAAGCAACCCAGAGCUUGCUUUUAAAAGUUGCUAUCAAAAGGCCAAUGCUUUUAAAGUAAUCGAGAUAUUUUAUUUUUGCGGAAUACCUUAAACUGCUUAACUUUAAAGUGAAGCAAGUUUUUGGCAAAAAAGCAAUCCUAAACGGGGCCUAAUUCUGCAACUUUUGCCACUCUUGUUCAGACCUGUAAAAUCACAUUAACCCAAUUGAGCUCAAAAGCAAUAGGAUUUUCAACCGUUUUUAUAAAUGUUAUUCUAUUUUUCUUAUUAUUUAUUAUCUAUUUUCUUUUUCUUUGAUUAUUUAUUUUACUCGAAAUUAGAAGUUUACCCUUAUAGUGAACGAAAAAUCGAAUGAAAUUCAAAAAACUUAACGACAAUGGAUAAAUUGGCCGUUUUAAUUAAUUUGGAUAUUAAAUUGGAUGACUUUUUGGUUCUGGGAAUUAAGUUCGAUUGGAGUCCUAAUUCGGGGGGGUGUACAAUAAUUUACUCAUAGCAAUAUGAACAUGAGAAUUGAAAAUCAAGUAUUUCAUAUUGCCAUAAGUUGCACUAUAUGAUAUGUAUGGCUUCAAUGUUAAAAUGGUCCAUGUGUUUUAUCUUAUUGGCCAAUUUGGUCCUUGUGUUUGUAUAUGUUAGUCAAUGUAGUCCAUUCUCUUUAAAAUAUAAAAUAUAAAAUAUUUAAAAUUAAUUAAAAAAAACUGUAAUUGAUUAUACAUUUUAAAUUCAAUCUGAAAAAUGGGAUUUUUUUAAUAAUUUUUUUAAUUUCACCUUCCCCAAUUUCACGCUCACACCUCAACCACCUCCCAAACCUAGCCACCAUCACCACCACCACUCCAAACCCAAACCCAUAGCCACCCUCACCACCCUAGCUACCAUUCCAACCCCACCUAAACCACAGCCACUCUCUCUCGCAACUUCCUCUCUAACAAAUCAUGAAGAUCUUUAUAGCCGGUCACCGUAAUCUUAAUGGCUCUGACACCAAUUGAUCAUCCUUGCUGCAGCAAAAGUCGACGAUAUUCAGGCCAAUGAAUCAGAGAGGCGAGAGAGACGAAGGAUAGAGUAUGAGAAAAACCAAGACAAAAAAGAGAAGAAAAAUUGCAGCAAGAAAAGAGUAGGCAUCAAUUUGACUAAGAACCUUUUUUUUUCCUACAGGAAUCGAGACCAUUGGAAGAGUGGAGGUUGAGGUUGUGUGGGUUUUAAUCAUUUUGGCAUUAUUAUUAUUUGAGUUUAAAUCUUUAUAAUUAUUUAUAGAUUUUUUUUAAAAUUAAUUUUAAAUGUCUUUUUUAAGGUUUUAACAUAAUUUUGACGGAAAGGACCAGUUUGCUAUUUACAGGGUAUACCGGCCGGCUAUACUUUGAAAUAUUCUUUUUUGGGGUAUAGCCGAGUGGCUAUACGGUUAAGAUAUUAUAUAUUUGGAGUAUAGCCGUGCGGCUAUACUGUUAAAAUAUUGUAUUUAUGGAGUAUAGCCGUUUAAAGGUACAUAAUAGUAAAUAGAAUAUUUUAACGGUAUAGCCGAGCGGCUAUAUGCUUUGAAUAUAUUAUGUUUUAAUUACUUUUAUUUAUUUAAUGAAGAAUUAGUAUUUAAAUGUUUUAAUUUAAUUCGGUAGAAAUUACUGAAUAAAUACUGAAUAAUUAUAGGAUUCACCUUGACAACCGCCACACACAUUGGGUCAUUCACUCACUCCCGCAUUGGGGGUCCCUCCCCCCUACGCUUUUUGGAUCACAGACGGUAUCUCCCCAUGGCCUUUCGCCUCUGAAAGCGUCCUUCCUUCUCAAUGCCCGGGCAUCCAUCCAAUGCAUUCUUUUCGAUCUUGUACUAAGGUACACUGAACACCAACCCAAUCUCGAAAAGAAAGAAAGAAAAAUACCCGUGAACGGACGCUUUGUCUUUAAUUAUCUUCAAUAAUUAUGUGAAUUUUAAAAAUAGUUUCAUUUAUUUAAAAAUUCUAGAAAAUUAUAUAAGAAUAGGGGCUUUCUCUAUUACGGAUUACAAAUUUGCAGAUUAAAUACGGAUUUCUAUUUGGAACAGUUAGAUGUCAUGGGCGGUGGAGAUUUAACAUAAAAGGCAAAACAUAAAAAAUACCCCUUUGCACUGCCAUUUGAGAAACAAAAAAACAACGGGCAGACCCAUCCAAUCCAGGAGACCUGUGCUUCUCUUUUGUAUUUCCCACCAAAGAAACAUUUCUUCCCCGUGCUUUUCUGAGUUCUCUCCCACCUGAAGAAUUUUGCUCCAAGAUUUACUCCAUACCAAGGGGCAAUAGCUCAAACAACAGAGAUUGAGAACCAAAAUAGUUCACACCAAACUAAAUUAAAGUGCAAUCACUGACAACAAACAAUAAGAGCUUCUCCACAAGAGUUAAUUUUUCUCUAGUUUUUAUUUUUAUUUUUUCUGACAGCAAACCCAAGAGGCACCAACCUCUCCUCAAAUCUCUCAGAAGAGUCUCUCAACAGUUUUUUCUAUUUCCUUUUUCCUUGCACCGAUGGAAUCAGACGCAGAAGACACCAAGUACCAAAUGACCCAAAACCUAGACUUCACAGCCUCCUCCCUAUUUGGUGCUGGUAUUGACAACUUGACAAGCGAUGGCCUGCCUCCUCCUUGAGUGAUAAUGUUCAUAAACCCACCUGAAGAAUUUUGCAAGAGAAAUGUUACAAGAUGAUACAAGGUCAAAUACAAGUGGUAGCAUUACAGUCUUUAAUGGCAUACGAAUCCAAACUCAUAUGAAUACAAGUGGUAGCAUUACAGUCUUCAAUUUUCUUGGAUUUAUCAAAACCGCUACCCUAUGUAAUGAUGUUUUUAUGAAAAUAAUAUACUUUGUGUAAUGCAUUUUCUAUCAGUAUAAAUUUAUAUUUUUCCUGAGCCAAAACAUUAAAAAAAUGAAAACAUAAUCAUGAUGGAUCCAUAAUACUAUAUUUAAUAUUGAAUGCUAGUUAAUGUUCAACGUUUGAACCUGUGCAACGUAUAUUAUAGCUCCCUCACAUACGCAUAACACAUUUGGUACAAUUUAAUUUUAAACAAGAAAUUUUGUUAUAUUUAGAACAAAGUGUUUGUCUUCUAUUCGCAAAAAUAAGUUAAAAUUAUGUUGGAAUAAAAUUAAUAAAUCCAGAACCUUACUUUAGCCCUUAACAUGUUACUCACAGAAAGAUUUGUACGGUGGUUCUCUUACACAGACGUCCGGUAAGGAAAAUUAUUUAAUGUCAUCAUGUAAGGAAAAUAUUUUUUUUGUCUUUUUUUUUUACAUAACGAAUUGAACAUAUUCCACAAAUAUUUGUUGAUCCUUAUAUGAAUCCAAAUACUCCAAGAUAGUAUGCAUGCAACAAGUACAGAACCACAAAAUAGACAAAUCCCACAAGCAAGUAGUCUGCAUUAUUCGCAAAAUCUGAAGAAGCAAGUAGAAACCGAAACUGCUGGAUGACACAUUUUACCCAUUAUCAUUGUUGUAGUCAAUUUGUCUACAAGUGCUCCAACUUCCAUCCAUGGUUGCCUUCACAAUUAAAAUUGAUUUCUACCCUUUACAACAUAGUGACCCACACCACAUGGAAACCUUUCAUUGUAAGGAUUUUUACGCAAGCAAUUCUUUGAAACUAAUUACAAGUUGAUGAAGAUAAUGGGGCUGAAAUGUACUCAGACAUUAGAAAGAGUCAAAGACAAGCCUUUUAUGAACAAUUUCGGAAAUGGGGUAAUUACCUGCGCUGAGAGACAGAGAUGAAAGCGUCGACCUUUCUUUGGGGAAGCAAUGGUGUAAUCUUGUUGCUCUCUUGCCUCUGUUUUGGGGUUUUAUGAAUUGAACCAUUUUGGGGGACUUCAAUUUUUUGCCUCUGUAUUCUAAGCUAAGUUCCAUCCAAUUGAUGAACCGUAAUCACAUAAAUUUUUGGUUUUUUUUUUUUUGGGUAAGAAAGAACCCCUAACAAACCAAAGAAACUAAGCAACACUAAUCAUACGAUGUUUAGAGACAACCCCAACAGUUCAUCGGCCAACACCGAGCCAAGCCAACCGGGAGACGCAUACACAGGUCCAGAAUCCAGAUUAUGACUCCAAGUAGCAAAACUGUCAGUAUUCUUCUCCCUAUAAUUAUGAUAAGUCUCAUAGCUCUCAAACUUGUCUAGGAUCUCCAAGCAGCUGGAAACCAACGCAGCAAGAGGAUGGAGGCAAUGAAGUUUACAGUAUCUAUGAAAGCGUAUAGCCGCGCGGCUUUACUGGGGUCGUUUUCCUGUUAAUUAUUUUUUUAUAAAAAUAACACGCGCUAGGCCGGUCCUCUUCUUUUUUUUUACUUUUUUUUCCCUAAAUAGUAGCGCCGCGCGGCUAUACUCCGAAUUAUUUUUUUAUACAAAAAGAGUAUAGCCGCCCGGCUUUACUGUUGUAAUUUUUAAUUCUUUUUUAUAAAUAGUAUAGCCGCUCCGCUAUACUUUGAAUUAUUAUUUUUAUAUGUAAAAAGAGUAUAGCCGCACGGCGUUACGGGGGGUUUUUUUUUUUUUGAAAAAUUCUUUGUUAGGCUAUACUCUUUACUGUUUAAAUGAAAAUUGACUGACCAUAAAUAAAAAUUAAAAAUUUUGACCCAAAAAAUACACAUACAAAAUUCAGGUUAAAUGAUAAUAAAAAUUUAAUUUGACAAAGAAGAAGAGAAUAAAAAUUGAGUGUUGCUAAAUGAACCCUAAAAUUAAUUGAGUACACCCUACGAUAAAAAUAUAUAUUGAAUUAUUGAUUUAUCCUAAUAUAAAAUGACCAAAAAGGAUAAAUAAAAUUGUGAAACAAAUACAAUUUUAAUAAGUACAUCCUACUAACUAUAUUCAACCAUAAUCAAAAAAUUACUUGUCCUAUUGUGUUUUUAACGAAAGAUGUGGUAAUUACAAGAACUUGGAAUUGCAAAAAAAAGUGUCAAUAGUUUUAGUAUAAGCAUAAAUCCAUAUGAAAAGUCAAAGAUUUAUAAACACUAUUUAAAAAAAUUAAGCUAAAAUUUAACUAUAAAAUAAUAAUACAAGUAUUAGAGUGUAUCAAGGAUAUUUUUAAUAGUUUUAUAGGGUGUACUUAGUUAAUUUUAUAUUUUAAUUCAAAUAUUAUGAUCUAUAUAGAUCAUAGACUCAGAUAAUUUUAAAGUUCGUUUAGUAACUCUUUGAGAAUUUAAUCAAUGACCCUGCAAAUCUACCCUGUAACUAUGUCCUCCUGACCGCUGGGCAUGAGGCGCCGAAACACAGAAGAGUCAGCGAAUUGACUUCACGCCAACUCCAAGCAAUCGAAAAUUCUCCCAAAAAUUAUUCCAAAACUCGGGAAAAGUCAUUUCUUGCUGUUUCGCUUUCACGCGUUAACAGCUUCGACCAAACACCGUCUUGCUUAACGGAUACCGUUUCCCAAAAUUUGGGACAUUUCAGCUUCCGAAAGAUGAGUUCUUGACUCGCCCCCAAGAUUCGGCUUUCUUUGUUGGGUUCAAUUUCGACGACCCCAUGGCUGCGCCCAACUCCAUUGGCAACACCGAAAUCAAUUGGGACAAGUAUGUUCUUUGUUUCGAUUUUCACUUUUUGUUUGAUUCAUUGACAAGUCCCAUUGCUUGCUUUUUAUCUGUUAUCUUUUGGGUUAUAACUGUUAGUUUUUGUUGAGAAAUUGGUGCUGUAGAUUGAUUGACUGUAUUGCUGGGAAAUGUUGAAUUGAUUAUGGAAUUAGAAACGACAUCUAAAACGUAUCUACCCUAUUGAUUAAUAUGGAUUUGAUUCUCAAUUAAGUGAAUAUUGUGCUCUGUUGAACUCAUUAAGUUUGUAUCCUUAUUUAUGCAGGCUUGAUAAGACUAAAUUUUAUGCUGUGAAAUGUUGGAUUGAUUAAGGAAUUAAAAAGGAAAUCUAAAACCUACCCACAGAUUGAUUAAUAUGGAUUUUGUUCUCAAUUAAGUGAAUUCUGUUCUGUUGAACUCAUAAGUUUGUAUCCCUACUUAUGCAGGCUUGAUAAGACUAAAUUUUAUGUGGUUGGAGCUGGCUUGUUUACAGGGGUCACAGUGGCACUGUACCCGGUUUCUGUUGUGAAAACCAGGCUUCAAGUUGCUUCCAAAGAUGCUCUGGAGAGGGAUACAUUUUCUGUGGUUAGAGGCAUUUUGAAAGCAGAUGGUAUUCCUGGUUUGUACAGAGGUUUUGGCACUGUAAUCACUGGUGCAAUUCCUGCUAGGAUUAUAUUUCUCACUGCUUUGGAGACCACCAAGGUGGCUGCUUUCAAGAUGGUUGAGCCCUUCAAGUUAUCUGAGCCUACAGAGGCAGCUUUGGCUAAUGGACUAGCUGGGAUGACCGCCUCACUUUUCUCUCAGGCUGUGUUUGUCCCUAUUGAUGUGGUAAAUACCUUUACAGGCUCUAUCGCAUGUCUUGCUUGAGCAUUUUUGUAGUUAGGGGUUUGAGAUAACUAAUUUUUGAGCAAUGGGUUUUCUUUAGAUUAGUCAAAGAUUGAUGGUGCAAGGGUAUUCGGGCCAUGCAAAGUACAGCGGGGGGAUGGAUGUUGCUCGUAAAGUUAUAAAGUCAGAUGGCAUCCGGGGAUUGUAUAGAGGGUUUGGACUUUCUGUUAUGACUUACUCUCCAUCUAGCGCUGUAUGGUGGGCUAGUUAUGGUUCAAGCCAGCGCUUAAUCUGGAGGUGAGACAUGGUAAUCUGAUAACUAUUGACUCUAGUUCUGUAGAGCUCUUUUAUUCUAAGACUAGGCCAAGUAAGUUUCAGUAAAUUUAGAUCUUUUAAAUGUGUGUCAGCAAUAUGUAAUUGAGAUUUUCUGUUGGACAUUCUAUUUUUAUCUUAAGCAGCAAUCUUCAUUUAAUGAUUUAAUGAUAUGAGUUUCUUUGCCUUGUGGCCAUGACAAACACAUUAAAACUUUGGAGGUGCAUCAGUUUGAUGGUUGUUUUAGGUGGUUUCCAUUUGAGUGCGUUAGUGGAACAUGAUAGUUAUGUUGGAAAAGUUAGGAAGUAUGAGUUGUUGGAAGUAAUCAUCAGGUACUGUGACUUUGUUGGUUGUUAGGCUUUAUUCUUAGAUAAACGAUCCUGUUGUAUAGGAAGUCUAAGGUUCAUUAAGCCAAUGAACUUCUAUAAUUACUACUACUAAGGGCAACGGACUUCAUUCCCUUUAGAUAAAGAACUAAGGUGAAGGAGUUUAGGUGAAUCAUACCCUUUUGUCAAAAUAUCUCACAUUUGCAUUAUUCUGGUUCAUUAAGCAGUUUCUUAGGCCAGGGAAGUGGUUCUGAUGAAGCUGUUCCUGGCUUGGGGAAAAUAGUGUUGGUUCAAGCUGCUGGAGGAAUUGUUGCAGGUGCAACAGCAUCCUGCAUAACAACCCCAUUGGAUACCAUAAAGACUCGGUUACAGGUAUUCAUAUAACCAUUAAUGUAUGUGGUUACUUUGCUAGCUUGUAGCUUGCUCAUCUUCAUUUGACCAAGUUAUUACUAAUAUGUGUUUUUUUUUUAAUAAUAAUUAUUCCUGCACUAUAGGUGAUGGGACACGAAAAGAGACCCACUGCAAGAGAAGUUGUUAAAGGCUUGAUAAGAGAUGAUGGCUGGAAAGGUUUCUACAGAGGGCUAGGUCCAAGAUUUUUCAGCAUGUCAGCCUGGGGCACGUCAAUGAUAUUGGCUUAUGAAUAUCUGAGUAUGGGCUCUUACCUAUUAUGCUUCCUUACCAUAUAUUUUGGGUCUUUUCAUGAUCUUUCUUUCACAUCAUGUUUUCCUUACCUAAGAUUCAACUUCUAGGCUCAAGUUUCUUUAAAAGUCAUAUAUAACACUAUGUGAAGGGAGAACACUUGUGCAAUCUAUAUAUUCAGGAAUGAUGAAUUCCUCCUUUUUGGCAUAUUCUUCUUCAUUUUUUCCCUUCUUGAAAAGUCCUGCUAUGUGGUUUCUCAUGAUACUUGCAAAAACCCAAAAUUUGAAAUUUAAUUUCUAUUAUUGUUUCCUUGUCUUUCAGAGCGCUUGUGUGCAAAAGAUGAAUAGAGGUCAUUCUUCUUUCGGUCCACUUAGCAUGGAAUUAUAGGAAUUUUGUUCUGACGUGGGCUGGUAUUGAGCAUUUCUGAUGAAGGCUUUAGACUGGUAAAUUCAGAAUUGGGAUUAUGGACACUGAAGCCUUUUCGUUAGUUUUGAUCGGGCGAUUGGUCCUGAUAUUAUUUGAUGCUUUACUUACUAAAUUUUGGAGAAGUCCUCAAAUUCUUUUAGGAAUUUCUCUACUAGAUAGUAGUGAUAUCAUUCUUCGGGUAAUUGAAUUUAUUUGAGCUGUAGGAAGUGCCAAUUUUUUGUUCUAUAGCAAGUGUACCUUCACCCCGAGCAAGGAAUUUGAACUUAUUAACACAGUUCUUUUUAUAAAAAAAUUUUGUUGCUAUAUUGUCCCCUUUAGGUGUAAUUCUCAAUAAUUUAGAACACCAAAUUCAUUCACCAGAAAUUAUUGUAAUUGUAAAUGUACUUUUUUAUAGUUGAAAUGUUUGAUCUCUGAAAUUAUUGAUGAUUGUUACGUGUUAAACUAGUUAUGGAGUAAAUCAAAAGAUAUAAUGAACUUAAAACUUAGGCUGGACCCAUGGUGUGGCAAAAUAGUAGUUUCCACUUCCCAUGGUGAAAUUUACACCAAAGCUUUCAACAAAUCCCCAGUUGGUUUGGUACAAAAACUUAACAGAAUCAUUGGCAAAUUUACUUUUAGAUGGAUGUGCAUAUUGAGCUUUUUAUGAAUUUUGUGGGAGAAAACCCAGAGAUACCAAAAGAUAUGCUAUGUAAACUUGACAUGGAUGUCAAUAUUGAGCUUUAUGAAUUUUGUGAAAUUAAAAAAACCCGAAGAUAACAAAAGGAUGAUAGAACUUUAUAAAGUAGUGAGAGUGAAUUUACACCAAUACAUGGAUGAAAAUCACCUCAAGAUACCAUUUACAUCUAGUGGCUUCAAAUUCUUGGUCCUGGUUUUCUUAUACUCUGACUGGUUUCUCCAAUACAGCUGAGAAGAAGAGCUCAUCUCCAAGCUUAUCAGUCUUAGGUACAACCCUCCAUAGUAAUGGCUUGUAGCCUAACCUGUUAAACUCAUCCAAAUACAACUUCAUGUCCUCCUUAUGACAGAAGAAGCGGUCUAUCCAAAGAAGGCCCUUUGGCCUAAGGACACGGUCCCAAUCAAACAACACAAACUGAAGGAGUUCAAUUCCUAUCCAGCCAUCCAAGAACGAAGUAGAGUGGAUCAUGUCAAGGGUAUUGUCAAAGAAAGGCAAUCUUGAGCCAAUUGAUGUGUAAAGAGGAAGAAGGCCUCUUAAGGCAAUGACCUCAUUGAAAGGAGCCCCUAAGUUUAAGGUACUAGAAGCAAUGGUAACAUUCUUUUCCCUCAUGAUAGAAGCAAAUGUUCCUGUUGUCAGGCUAAAAUCUAGGCCGAUUCUGAUCUCCUCUGGCUUUAACCCUAGAAAUUCAUCAAUGGUGAACUCUGCUGAUUCAGACUUGUUUGUUGGAGUAUCCCACCCUUUUUUUGAAAGAUUGAAGCAGUCCGAGCAUUUGAAGAAGCCUCUUCGGUCCUUGGUUUCUUUGGAGACAAGGCAAGAGUAGUCUUUGCACUUGUAAUUGUUCCAUAAGAUGUUAGCACCACUAGGUUGAGUCCAAAGGGAGGAGUUUAUAGAAAAUGGCUUGGUGUAGUGUGGAGGUGAUUUUGUGAAGCAUCUUCUUCUUGGUAAUGGAUCACAUCCAUGAACUAUAAGCUUCUGAGCUAUUUCCCAAUCAUCCGGGCAUGUACUGUGAACCUUGUAACUCAUAAACCGGUCUAAAUUGGUGACCAUAUUAGCACAAGCCAACCCAAUUGAUGGAGUUACUGCUUCUACCCCAAGAAAAUUCUUCUUCCCAAUUAGCCUGUUUUGUUUUGGUGAAGUGUAAUUGUGAAUCUCACCUGAACUGAAGACCUUCCCACCCAUAAACUGUUCUUCAGCUUCCUCGGGAUCACUGAAAUCUUCAUCGACAUUGCUCAUCUCAGCUUUAGCAGGGGGAGAAUUCCUGUAGAGCCUUGAUAAGCUAUCUGCAAGUUUGUCCAAAGAAAUGGCAAUGUGAAGCACCUGAUCCGAAAAUUUCGCAAUUGCUUUUGAGUCUGAACUUUCAUUAUGCAGCUGCUCCAGUAAAACCCCCAGUUGGAUCUGCAAACGAGAGAUAUCUCUGUGCAGGGAAUGAGGCAAAACAAUUUGGUCAUGGGAGGUAUUGGCAAAAGUAGCAAAAAUGGAUUGUGGAUAUGAAACAUUGAAGCCAAAAAUGAAAACUGUGAGGGGGCUGACAAGGAGAAUAGCACAUAACAUUGCGGCAAGAAGGCAUCUGACUGGCUUAGAGGAGCUUUCCUUCUGCAUUUCUAAGAAGGGUUAUUUUUCUUCCUUAACACUUCUUCUGGGGAAAACAACCAUUUGAACUGUUCAUUCAAUCUUUCAAGCUGUUGACUGGAAGAGUGAAGUGGGAUCUAAUUCUCUUAAUUUUCUAUUGCGUUUUCAAUAAUCCCUAGGUGCAUCUUACCAUACUUUAUAGUCAGUUUUCUUUGAACCUAAGUCACCCCUCGUAGCAAACCAUCUUGAUCUAUGAUAAUAUUAAACUAAAUGUUUUGCCAACUUUCACAUAAGUUUUCCCCAUGCAGAGCAUUUUGUACACAAUCUGCAUAAAUUUGUUAGUUUUUUACAUAUUAAGUGAAAUAAAUUGAGAUAAUCAUUGGCUUUAUUCACUAAUGAACAGACUGAAUAGGGGUAAUGGCCAGAUUAGGUGGAAUUAGCAUUUGAUUUCUCAACUAUAGAACUUGGAAGAACAAGAGCGCUUUAGUUUCUCAUAUGGAACUCAAUUAAUACAUAAACUCAAACAACAUUUGAGGGUUCUUGUGCAUAAAGCACUUGUACAAAAACGAAGAAUCAACGGCUAUAAGAAAGAAAGAAGAAGAAGAAAACAAGAAAGAUGUUGAUCGUUUAAACUCUUCAAGACCUUCUUCAUAGGGGUUGAAGGGCUGACUUCCACUUCCAGAGUAAUGGAAAUAUCUUUGUCCAAAAUUGCGACUGAGAGUACAAAGAGAUGCCUCAAAACUGCCCAAAACAAAGACAACAAAUUUGUGUCUGUAACUUAUCAUCAUCAUUGUUUGUAAUUUGUAAAUGUAAGAGUCCACACUGCAAAAGCUAUUGAAAUACUACCUCUAUUAAUUACAAACAUGGUCCUCAUUUUCUUCUUCUUCACCUUCUUCAUCAUCAUCAUCAUCAUCAUCAUCAUUAUCAUCUCUGCUUGCCUCUGCAUAUUCUUCAAGUGAUGCAGAGGGGAACAAAUCCCCAGCCUUGUCAUCUUUGUUGGUUGCCGCUUUCACUAAACCAGUAGCUUUGCCUGCGUUCAUCUGUUGCAGUACAAUUUGAGCUUACAAAGUAUGCAACUUUAUUCAUAGACAAUACAAGAAGCUCAAAAAAACAAAUGGGUUUCCAUUAGAGAACAUACCGCACGUAUCAGUGUCCUCCUAUCUCUUUCUCGAGCAUUUUUUAUGGCCUGCACGUUAUAAGUUGAUAAAACAAAACAAACCCAUCAAUCUCAUUAGCCCAUUUUUGAAUGCAAACGCAAUUAGAGAAUUAAAAAAGAAAAAAUAAAAAGAAAAACAAACCUCCUGAAGCUUUUUUUGCUCAGCUUCCACUUCCGAAGGGUCUUUUCCAACGAUACGUUCGACACGGCAACAGCACUUUGCACAAACACCUUGUUCCUUGGCGCAAGCAGAACAGAGUUUAUGGUGAGACUGACGAACGGCGCGCUUGGUACAACGUUGGCACUUGGUUGGCUCCGUUAGGGUCUUGUACUUGCCGUAACGGCGUUUCCAUUCGAUCUGCUCCUUACAGCGAGGGCAGACCCCCGUAAUAUCCGACAGCGGCCUGAACCGGCCUCCGACCUCCGUUUCGUUGAUUUUGACGCCGAGGUUGGGCUUCCAUGCGAAUUUGUUUUGGUGCCUACCGUUCAUCAUAAUUCCCUACACUUCUCAGAGCAAAUACAGCUUACGAUUUUGAAAAUGCAAAGCAAAAGCAAUCAACUGUGCUUUGGGAGUUGCAGAAAUUCAAUUCAUAUGCCCAACCCAAAAGAAAGAGAAGAAACUAGGGUUUUAGCGAAGGCGGAGAAGACUAACCCGAUUUAAAAUUUGGGUUUCCUGACCCGAAUUCGAUUUGGAUUGGGCUGUCCUGAAAAUAAUUUAGGGUUUUGGGUCAAUUUAGCUCUUGGGCAAGUAGACAUAAAGUAGCCCAACAAAUUUUGGGUUGGAUUUUGAAAUUAAAGUCAUGCUAUUUUCACAUGAGGUAAUACCAUCUUUGAUAAAGAAUAAAGGGCAUCAACAGUAAAAUUAAAUGUUUGAAAAAAAAUAAAAACAUUCUGAUGUAGAACCCAAUCAGAGCAUGGCAUGUAGGAUCUAUGGUUGGGAGUACAAUGCUUGUAUGCCGGCAAUAUCAUCACUGUGCAAAGCCCUCUUAGUCUUUCCAGCAGAAACGUAGGUUCGUGCGUAGCCACCCACACCAAGUCAAAUUGGUUCUUGCUUGGUGGCAUGAAGCUCCAGUUCUCAUCAGCAUCCACGUGUAGCCUUCCAUCUGUGGGCCAAAACCUUACCCGGCCCAUCAAACAGGCUCCCGUCUCCAUGAUCACGCUGUUGAAAACUGAUCCUAAGGACAGCAGGUGACCCCAGCCCCACCUCCUGAAAUGUAAAUAUGGAUUCCUUGGCCCACAAUCCAAAUGCUUGGUUACAUGCCAGUGUCAAGGCCAACGGCCCAGAUUUGGUUUGGGCUCCAUGCUCAAAUUUGUAGGUGGUGAGAUGAUGCUUUGUGGGUGGCCAUUUCUGAUUUCCAGAAGGCAUAGUGUGAAUCCAUCUGAGUCCCAUGCCCAUGUUGACCAUUACAUUUUCGUUGACCAACCACACCUUGGAGUGGUAAUUAGAAUUUAGAUCCAUGGUCUCUGAAUCAAGGUUACCUGUAAUAUUCAAAUGAUAGUUUCUUUGGAACACUUUUAUUGCAGAUUCUAAAAGCUUAUCAUAUCCAACGGUUUUUCAUGCCCUACCUAUCAGUCACUACCUUAUUUUUCAGACAACAUAUGUACAUCUUUGCAUACUGAGUUGUUUCAAGUCGCAAUCAAUCAAUGUUAGGUGGGGGUCUUCCAGAUCUUGCGCUAUGCUUUUCACAUGGAGAUCAUGUGUCAUUUACAAUUACCUGACUCUUUCAUGUUAACCCCACUAUAUUAUGCUUCAAAAAUAAAAACCCUACUAUAUAAUACAGAAAAUAACCCUACAUGCAAGUAGAUGCUUUGUAAUCUUACAUAUCAGAGAUCAUUUUCUGUGAACACACCCAAAUAAUGCAAAAACAGAACCAGAAUACUGAUUGGCUAGGCAAAUAUUAUGUGCUGCACGCGAAAGAUUUCUCUUCGAAGCAAAAACGGUUGGAGAUAGGAGGUUGAACAGAGUUUGUAUGGCCAAGUAACUAGCAAAAUGUAAAAACUUCUCUUCUGGGAUGGAUGAGCAACUAGCUAAGGAGGCAAUAAAAGCAGGUAGACCAUUGAUCUUGCGUUAAUAGUCAUGUAUAUGUUUUGUGAUGUACAUUUUAUAGUGCAGAAUGGUCUUUAGAUAAUUUUCUGUUAUUUUACAUCCUGGGAGUAAGUCCAUAUAUACUUCUUCUUCCAAUUCUCCAGGUAAGAAUGCAUUUUUGACAUCAAACUGAUGUAGUGGCCAAUCGAAAUUUACUGCAUCCUACUGUCUUCUUUCCACGAGGUAAGGGCACGAGUUCCCAUGUGACAUUCUUUUGGAGAGCUCGCAUUUCUUCAUUUAUAGCUUCUUUCCAUUUUGGGUCUUCUAGUGCUUCAGUUACACUGUUGGGGACAGAUAUGUCAGCCAACUGCUUCACAUAGUGCACACGUGACCCUGAUAAUAGCUGAGAGAUAUAUAAUUAUUGAUGGGGUAUUUUCCUUUGGCUUUAAGAUCUGCUUCAUAUUGUACUCGAGAUUUGCCACGGUUCUUCCUUUCUAGAAGCUGAUAUGUAGGCUCUGUGCCUUCUGAAAUCAAAUCAUCAUGGGAUAUUUCAUUAGUGUUAUCAGUUUCAAGAAAAGAUGUUACCUGAAUGACUUCCCCAGCAGGUGAUUGGUGCGGUACUGGAGCUGAAGCAGGUAAAAUCUCAUAAACCGGUUCAAUUUUCUUCUCCUGAUUUGACAGCGUGGAGACAACUUAAAGUUUUCCUCUGGCGACUGGUCGCUGUCUGCUGGCGACAGGUCGUUUUGAAGCAGGUUCUCUGUAGUUGAAGAACUAAGGGGGGCGACUGGUUACUUUGCACUAGUGACGGGUCAUUUUGAUGCAAAGUGACGUCCUGGGGGAAAAAAUCGAGAAUUGGAGCAGUCGUGGAUUCUCGAUUCUCCUAUUGGGCUGUUGAAAAAUAUAAUUCAUGUUUCCAAAACACAACAUCUAUGGAGGUAAAGACCUUCUGACUAAGAGGAUGAUAACAUCGAUAUGCUUUCUGAUGAGGUGCAUGGCCAAUGAAAACACACUUUUCGGCUCGGGGAUCCAAUUUGCUUCAUUGGUGAUCAUGUAAGUGGAUAAAUACAACAUAGCAGAAAAUCCGGGGUUCCAAGUUUGGGGUGGGAGGUGUUUGGAUAUGGUGGUGAAGUGUUUGAAGUGGUGUUUGGAAAUUUAUGAUACUAGAGGGAAUCCGAUUGAUAAGGUAUGCUGCAGAUACGACGGCUUAGCCCCAAAAGGAUCAUGGCAUAUUGGCACCAAAGAGAGAGGCACGAACGACUUCUGUUAGGGAGUGUAAGGGCAUGAGCGUUGAUGUAUGAUGCCAUGAUCUUGUAAUAACUGGUUUAGAUCAUGGUUGAGAAAUUCUCCGCCAUUGUCAGAAUAAAGAACCUAAAUUAUGGCAUGAAACUGAGUCUCCAUAAUUUGAUAAAACUGUUGAAACCUGGAACUAACUUCCCCUUUAUUUUUGAGAAGGGAAACUCAAGUCAUGCGUGUACAAUCAUCUAUAAACGUGACAAACCAUCGCACCCCUGACGAAGUGGCAAUUUUAGCAGGUCCCCAAACAUCAGAAUGAACAAGAGAAAACAGAACCAAACUCUUAUCUGAACUUAAUGGGAAUGGGACAUGAUGACUCUUGGCCAAUUCGUACGUAUCACAUUGGAAGCUAGAAACAUCAAGAUUGAAAAAUAAUGAUAAAAACAAUUUCUUAAGAUAACCAAACGAGGCAUGCCCAAGACGUUUAUGUAAUAACCAAAUUUUGUCUCUCUCCUCCUCAGAACGAGUUCCACUAGUUGUGAAAGCUUGAUCAACCUUGACCUCACUAUCUGGUGCCCAGUUCAAGUAGUAGAGUUUGCCCCGCCGAGUAUCACAACCAAUCGUCUUUCCUGUGAGGAUGUCCUGAAAAACACAAUGAUUCGGCCAAAAUGUUAUAGUACACCCCAAAAUAGUAGUAAGUUGCGCAACAGAUAGCAAGUUAUGGUCUAAAGAUGGAACAAGUAAUACAUAAUCCAGAUGUGGGGAAGUAGAGAGAGAUAAAGAGCCCUCCCUAACCACAGGGGAGGGGUACCAUUAGCAUUAGACACCAUCAGCGGAGUGGAUGAUUUGCGACUAAUAAGUUGGCCAAGAUCAAAUGUCAUGUGAUCUGUAGCACCCGAGUCGAUAAUCCAUGCGGAUUUUUGAGAUGACGUAUGAAAAGUAGAACCGUUGGUGGUGGCGAUAUAAGCAUAAGUCCUGGUAGCCGGGUCAGCAGGAUUGACCGCAUGCUUCUGUGAGUCUGCAAUAAGGAGGAGAAUCGUAGAGGUUCCUGACAUCGUAGUGGAAGUAAGAUGUGAUAUGAGAAUGUGAGAAACUGUGAUUGGAGGAAUUUGAUGUAGGAGUUGGAUUUGAGAGUUAUCUAUUUAGGGAUUUUGAUAAGAGGAUUUGAGGACUUUAGAUUUGAGGGAUUUGGAUUUGGGGAAAAAUAUAAGGAAUUUGAUUUAGAGUUUUGGAUUUGAAUAUGAGAAAUUUGAGAUAAGAGUUGACAAACAAUCUAGGAUCGAUUGCUCUGAUACCAUGCUAAAAUAUGAAUAUGGUUUGAGUACUUUGAGUUAGGUUUUAUUCUUCUCCAUAAGGAGGUAUAUAUAGGAAUUUACAUGAGUGCUUUACAAGGAAAUAGAUACAGUAAUCAAUUAAGAUAAUAUCUCGUAAUUAUACAAUGAUUUGUCAACUAUAUAGAAUAGGAAAAUAAAUCCCUUAAUUAAUCAAGGAAAUAAAUCUCCUUGAUUAAUUAGGUGACUCUCGUCAAUCUUCACUUACCCAAUUGAAAUCACAACCAAAGCCUUACAUAUGGGCACGAAGUACAAGAUCAUUCACCGCGAUGUGAAGAGCACGAACAUCUUAUUGGACGAGAAAUGGGUGGCUAAGGUUUCGAAUUUCGGACUUUCGGAAAGACCCAUAUCAACCGUGUCAAAGACUUGUGAAUUGUUCCAAGUCCACGGCCAACCCAAAAAAGAAGUUUAAGUUGUUAUCAAAGUCUCUAUUAAAUUGACUAAUGUUGAUCAAGAAUCUUGAAUUUAGAGUAGAUGCAGCCAAAAGCUUGACUUGGAAAAGUCCAAAACAAGAAGUUUAAGUUGUUAUCAUAGUCUCUAUUAAAUUGACUGAUGUUGAUCAAGAAUCUUGAAUUUAGAGUAGAUGAAGCCAAAAGCUUGACUUGGAAAAGUCUUUGAUGAUCAUGUGUAUGUCCCCACUUGUGCAAUAGAAAUUCCAAUCAGGGAUCCACACACCCACACAUAACAUAUCUUUAACUCUCCAUAUAUAUUCCUCUUAUAUCGAGAGGUCUCUCAGAUAAUUUUAUUUGAAGGAUACCAUUUAGAAACUCGCACAAAUUUUUUUUCAACGAUCUAAAUUAUCUAUUUUUUAAGUUUACAUUCAUAGAUCAUCCUUGCAAAAAAUUAGACAAAUCGGAAACCGUUUCAAUAUCCAAUUGUGUCUUACAAAAUCAAUAAACACGAUACUUCAAGAAAGUACUAAAUUUUCAAUAAUUCAAUUGAUAUCGGAUUCAAGUGAUUUUUUGUAAAGAUGAACUUUGAAUGAGUAUCUACAAAAUAGACAGUUUGAAUGAAUGAAAUACAAUAUGGAAUGGGCCCUACAAAAAUGUUCGUCAAAUAAGUUUAUUUGUCAACCAAAAUUAUAUAUAUACAUCAUGAACAUGUAUAUAAUAACCAAAGCAUCAAACACACACCUUGAUACAAUUACCAUGUUGUUAUCUCAAGCUCCACCAGAGAAACUUCCCAACCUUUUGACCUUUCUAUCUCCGAGUCUCUCUACCCACGUCGUUGAUGACGAGAUAUGGAAAGGGCAGCAGCAGUGACACAGAUUUUUCAUGCACAAGACUUACUAUAUCUUGACUGAUAUGUUGAUCCAAAAUAAUCUUUAAUAAUUUGAAGUACGUAGCCAGCCAGCCCCCUAAUAAUAAUUCUUUGAUUGAAUAGAACCCAACCCAACCAGCUUGCUAUAAAGCAGAGCAGCAGCCUUCCCACUUCAUCCACCACCCACACAACACACCUGAAACCACCCUGUCUUUCUUACCAUGAAGAAGAACGUCCCAAUUCUUACUACUCAACUUUACCUUUCCUUGUUUCUCCACAUUAUCACCGGCCUACUCGUGGCGGCUAGAGAUUCACCACCUAUCUACACUCCGGUGGAAGAUAUCACGGUUAAAUGUGGCUAUUCCGGCAACUUAUUAAAUGAAUAUGAUGAACGACAUUGGCACGGAGACAUCAACUCAAACUUUUCCCCCACAACUGGCAGUGACACAUCCAUGUUCAGAGAAGUACCUCAUUCGUACACCGUCCACCAAGUGGCUUACACCACAGCGCGCCUUUCGCGCUCUGAAUUUACUUACAGUUUUAAACUCACUUCCGGCCAAAAGUUCAUCCGCUUGUAUUUCAACCCAGUUUCAUAUGGUCCUGACUUUGACCGAUCUAAAGCCCUCUUCUCAGUCAAAGCCAGUGGCUUUACCCUUCUCCACGACUUCAACACUUCAGUCACUGCCGAUGCGUACGGAACAGAGACGAUAUACAGAGAGUUCUGUCUCAACGUGGAGUCAUCAGAACAGAGCUUGAACAUCACCUUCACUCCGAGUCCGAGACUAGCAAGCCCAGAUGCGUAUGCGUUUAUCAACGGCAUUGAAAUUGUAUCCAUGCCCACCAAUCUUUACUUCACUGCAGCCCAAAGAUUUGGGGUAGGACUCGUAGGAAACAACUUCAAUUUUCACAUCGAAAACAACUCUGCUCUGGAGACGGUGUACCGAAUAAACGUUGGUGGAAAGUCAUUAUUUUUCAGUGAAGACACUGGCAUGUAUCGCAACUGGGGAAGCGAGCAAGAAGAGCCCAAGUACUUAGAUGAUUUAAGCAUUGAGUUUAGUGUUUUACCACAAAACACUAGUAUUGAACUCGACUUUGCCGGAAUAGCAGAGUACUAUGCUCCAAAAGAAGUUUACCAAACGGGCCGGUCUAUGGGCAUGAACAAGACCAUAAACAAGAGCUAUAAUCUCACUUGGAAUUUUCCAGUUGAUCCCAAGUUUUAUUACCUGGUUAGGCUUCAUUUCUGCGAGUUUGAACCUGACAUUGUCCAACCCAGAGACCGAAACUUUCUAAUCAACAUAGCCAACGUUGUCGCUGAAGAAGAAGCGGAUAUCAUCAUGUGGAGUGGCGGAAAUGGGAGACCAGUGUACCGUGACUACCUUGUGUUCGUGACAUGCCCUGCAACUUCAGAAAGCCAGAGGAAAGUAAAUCUCUCCAUAGCACUGCGAGCAAACCCUUAUGAUUUUAUGACGAAUUUCAACGAUGCAAUCUUGAAUGGGCUCGAAAUAUUCAAAUUAAAUGACACAAAUAGCAAUCUCGCCGGACACAACCCAAACCCACCUCCUAUGUUGACCCCAAAAAAGGCGUUGUCGCCAAGCCCAGAGAGAACCAACACCGAGUUAACGCGGACUCCUAUGCUUGCCAUUAUCGCCGGUGUAGUUUCCACCGUCACAAUUGUAAUGUUUCUUGGGUUAAUCUUGGUUUUCAAGCAACAACAGAAACUCAAAGACUCCUGGUACUCCAGCAACAGAACAACCAACUCAUCUUUACCGUCCGCUUUGUGUCACUACUUUUCCCUGGCGAAGAUUAAAGCCGCCACCCGAAACUUCAACGAUAUUUGUAUUAUUGGGCGCGGUGGGUUUGGCAAUGUGUAUAAAGGGUACAUCGAUGGUAGGGCUACUCCCGUUGCAAUCAAACGGUUGAAACCCGAGUCCUCGCAAGGGGCCCACGAGUUCAAGACGGAGAUCGAGAUGCUCUCCCAAUUACGUCACCGUCAUUUGGUGUCGUUGAUUGGAUAUUGUGUGGAUGAAAGUGAGAUGAUCUUAGUGUAUGAUUUCAUGGACCGUGGGACCCUUAGUGACCAUCUCUACCACAAAGAUAACCCAUCUCUUCUCUGGGAGCAACGGCUUGAGAUCUGUAUCGGGGCAGCGCGUGGGCUGCAUUACCUUCACACGGGAGCAAUGUGCACAAUCAUUCACCGUGACGUGAAGAGCACCAACAUCUUGUUGGAAGAGAAAUGGAUCGCUAAGGUUUCUGAUUUCGGGUUGUCAAAAAUGGGCGCCACCACCAUGUCUAACGCCUACAUCAGCACGGUGGUGAAGGGUAGUUUUGGGUAUCUAGACCCGGAAUACUAUCGUCGUCAGCAGCUGAGUGUGAAGUCUGACGUGUACUCCUUCGGUGUAGUAUUAUGCGAGGUAUUGUGUGGAAGGCCAGCAGUUAUGCGUAUGGUAGAGAGGAGGCAGAUGAGCCUGGCUGAAUGGGCCAAGACUUGUCAUCGCAAUGGGACACUUAAUGAAAUCGUUGACCCAUGCUUGAAGGGCAAGGUCGCAAGCCUUUGCUUUAAUAAAUUCGUUGAGAUUGCGAUGAGUUGCAUGCAUGAUAAUGGGAUUGAACGGCCGUCGAUGGCUGACGUUGUGAGGGAGCUUGAAUUUGCUUUGAAGCUUCAACGGAGUGCUGACGACGAUAUAGACUUCAAUAUUGUUGAAAACAAUAUUUGUGAAGAUGAGGUUGCCUUCAUCAAAGACAAGGAGGGUUCUGGUGAAAGUGAGCAAAGUUGUGCGACCGACGAAUUCAUUAAAUUGAUUUUUGAGACAAUCUUCUCUGAGAUCAACAAUCCGGAUGAGAGAUGAUCUCGAUGAGCAACAACAUUUUUAAUGAAAUUAGAAUAAUCUGGCCACAAUUAAUGGGAGAUGAUUAAUUAUGAACAUCAUUUUUAUUGAAAUGAGAACAAUCUGGCUACAAUGAGAGCCUACCCUAAGAACAUAAAUAUGGAAGUGCUUUAUCUUUUUUUUUUCUUUUUCUUUUUUAUAAAUUUUUUAUACAGGCAAUAUUCUACUUUAAUCGAACCUAAACUACAAAUAGUGGCGAAGCCAGACCCAUUCUCAACUCUCUCUCUCUCUCUCUCUCUCUCUCUUGUUCUUCCCAGCCAUUUCACUCUCCUUUUCUUUCCCUCUUUCUCUAUGUAAAUAAUUUAAUUGUGUGUAUGAUACAACAAUCAGAACUUGAUGUGUAAAAUCUGUCAUCUAAAAGCUUAUUUCUUGAUUUUUACUUUAGGGGAUAUUGAGAGGUUAGAAAAUGAUGCACAAGAAGUUCUCCGAGAACUUGCAAUGCUUAUGCUCUCAUUUCCUUUAUUUUUAUAUUUUGCAAGAGGGCCCCCUUUAACAUCAAUUCUUGGCUCUGUCACUGACAACGAGAAAGGAAAUUCGAACUCGGGUAUAGAGUGGAGAGUACAUAUGCUCUAACCAACUUGAGUAAGCCCACAUUUACGGUGUGUUAUCUCUUUAGCAAGUGCUUUUGCACUCCACAACUUCAAACUAUUGCAAAUUGGUUGUGCAAUUUUGAACUAGUUGGUAGUGGGAGUUAGUAACACAACCCAGUAUAAGCCUUCACAAAAUUGUUCAACUUUCCGAUAAAGGUAAUUCUUCAUAUCCUCACACGAUGCUUCACGUGUGGUGAAUUGGAGGAGGCUGCCCUGAAAAUGAUUUGGGGUUUGGUUUUGGGUCAAUUUAGCUCUUGGGCACGUAGACAUAAAGUAGCCCAACAAAUUUUGGGUUGGAUUUUGAAAUUAAAGUCAUGCUAUUUUCACAUGAGGCAAUACCAUCUUUGAUUAGUCUAUGAUCAAGAACUGCAUACAUAAAGGCAUCAACAGUAAAAUUAAAACAUUGUGAUAUAGAACCCAAUUAGAGGAGGUUGGGAGUAGAAAGCUUGUGUGCCGGCAAUAUCAUCACUGUGCAAAGCUUGUAUUCCAGCAGAAACGUAGGCAUGCAUAUUGGCAUUUUUAACCGUACUGUGUUGAUUAGGCAUCCACGUGUAGCCUUCCAUUUGUGGGCCCAAAAGCAUGGUCCAAUACCUUACCCGGCCCAUCAAACGGGGUCCCGUCUCCAUGAUCACACCGUUGAAAACUGAUCCUAAUUAAGGUCAGCAGGUGGACCCCAGCCCCACCUCCUGAAAUCUAAUUAAGGUCACCCACAAUCAAUAUGCUAGGCCCACAGUCUUCCAAACCGUCGCCGUUUAGAUAUCCAAAGGCCCUGAGUUAGCUUCUGAGCCUGAGUUAUCCAAAGGCCCCAUUGCCUGUCCCUCUCCACCACCUUGAAUUGACUGAACUGUAAAAGCAUGAAUUGCUAGAAGGGAAAAUAAAACUCUCACAAGAUUGAAAAGAAAGUUUGUCGCCAUUUGUGCCUAGUUGGCCCUCAGAAAAUUCAACACUCAAAAAAGGAAUAUUUCCCUGCUCCUGUCGUUUAAUUAUUUAUACUACUGUAUUAGGAGAGUACAUGCAUGCAUGUAUUGUACAUCCCAUUAUUAAUUGGAAAAAAAAAAAAAAAAAUUAUUGUGCAUGAAUAAUAUAACAAAAAAUAAAAUUUGGUAUUUUUUAUUUUGGUCCACUACUAACAAGAUCGAUAUUAUCUUCAACUUAAUCACAUAUUUAGCAGGUGUGGGGUUUUAUGCAAAAAGUCUUAAUGUUAUUAGAAGUAAAACUAUUUAUUAUACGAGACUUUCUAUUUUGUUAAGUUUCCGAUAUGAAAUUGUGUAUUCUUCAACACAUGAACGUCUUGAUAUAGUGAAGGAAAAUACAACAGAACAUUGAACUUUACACAAUUUUAUUACGCUUGCCAUUCAUGAACCAGGUAACCUGCUUUUAAUUCAUAUUUUUACAAAUAAAAAACACUUAAUCAUAAUUUAUAUAAAAAUGUCAUGCAUUUAGUAAGUUCGAGUUCGAAAUCGAUGAACAUAAAUUUAUCAAAACGAUGCGAUUUUGUUUUUGUUCUUUUUAUUAACGGAAGAGGACCCAUUCAAACUUCUCGGCACGUAAAAAAAAAGUUCCACUAAACUAGUAGCUAGUUGAUGAAUGUGAUUUUGAUUAAAACGACGUUUACCAACUCAUAGCUGGAGACCAUUUAAGGGGUUGUUUGCUAGUGGUGAAUGAGACUUUUCUACUAAAGAAAGAAUAUAUAAUUAACUACGCAAUCUCCGCUACUUGUUGUUUGGAAAGUGAGGUAUGCCUAGAGACUUCUGCAGACGACUGAAUUCGUCAGGUCCACUGCCCUCCUGGCAGCUGCUACUGUUUUUUAUCGAGAAUCUUUAAUUUAGAAAACGUAUGCAGACAAAAGUUUGACAUGCAAGUCUUGGAUCCAUGCCUCCACUUCUGCUCAAGAAAUUCAAUAAUAUCACUACUCAAAGUUGAAGACAAGGCUGAUUUAAUCAUCAAAAUUUUGGGGCCCUGUUGCAUGGUUGAAACAGUCUUAUGUUACACAGGACAAGUGCUUAAAAACAUGAGAAUUCUUUCAAAAUCAAAAAUUUAAUUAUUCAUUUUGUGUGAAUUUCGUUUAUUUUUUAAUUCAUUAAUGUGAAAUAAACACAAUAAUUCUCAAUAGGUGAAAUUCAAUUCUUUAUGAGAAUUAAUAAAUACAACAUCAAUUCAAAAAAAAAUCAGAAGGGUGUUUUCAAAAAUAGUUUUUAAAUUCAGAGAAAAAGAAAAAACUUUGUAAAAUAGCAGAAGAUGACAAACUUCUUUUGCAUUUCCAAGCAAUUUCUUCACUCACUUUUUUUUCUUCCCAAAAAACAUAUGUAUCGUUGAUAAAAUGAAAUCUUCACCAACCCAAUUGACAUGACAACCAAGGCCUCACAUACCAUAGAUACAAGCAACUCACCAGGGGGCGUUGAAAAAAACAAACAAACAAACCGACUCUGAUCUUUCAAACAUCCACUCUCCAACCCCAAGAUCUAAAACCCAGUUUUGCAAAGCUUAUUCUCCUUGUGGCUAAUUAGUAUAGAACACAGCGUCAUUAGGAUUUCCAUUUCCAAUUAGAAAUUAAUUAAACAGGCAAGUUCUGUUAUGCUUACAAUAAUAAACAGCAGCUUCCUUUGUUUCUCUUACAAUCAUGAAGAAUCCAAGCAGCAAACACCUUCAUAAAUCAGUAACCAUGAAACCCUUUCUCACUCCUCUGUUCCUUCCCCUGUUUCUGCACAUCAUCACCGUGCACGUGGCCGGUGAUACUUCUCCUAUCUACAAUCCGGUGGACGAUAUCACCCUUCAAUGUGGCUUUUCCGGCGACCAACUCAAUCCAGCCGACACCAGAACUUGGACUGGAGACAUCAACUCAAAGUUUUCCCCCUUUGAAAACCAAGCAUCUGGCAGGCCCUCCAUAUCCACACAAGCACCUUCUUCCUCCUCUGUACCUUACAGCACCGCGAGGCUUUCUCUCUCUGAAUUUACAUACAGAUUUCCAGUCACCACCGGCCAAAAGUUCAUCCGUUUGUAUUUCAACCCAGCUUCAUAUGGCCCUGACUUCGACCGAUCCAAAGCCCUCUUCUCAGUCAAAGCCGGUGGCUUUACCCUUCUCAAAGACUUCAACUCUUCAGUCACUGCGGAUGCUUCUGAGUCUGAUACAAUAUACAGAGAAUUCUGUCUCAACGUUGAGUCAGAACAGAGCUUGAACAUCACUUUCAUGCCAAGCAGAGCAACUGCAGAUGCGUAUGCGUUUAUCAAUGGAAUUGAAAUUGUGUCCAUGCCCAACAAUCUUUACUACACCUCUGCUCAAAAUUCAGAUGGAGUUAAUUAUAUAGGCAGCGGAAACACAUUUCGGAUCGAAAAUGACACUGCGCUGGAGAUGAUGUACCGAUUCAACGUCGGUGGAAGAUCACUGUUUUUCAAUCUGGACACUGGUAUGUACCGAAAGUGGUACGGCGAGCAAGAUGAGAACAAGUACUUAGACUAUUUAAGUUUAAAGUUUAGUGUUUUACCGCAAAACAGUAGCAUUGAACUCAAGUUGACUGAAAUAGCAAAGUACUGUGCUCCAGAAGAACUUUACCAUACUGGCCGGUCAAUGGGCAAAAACAAGACCAUAAACAAGACCUAUAAUCUCACCUGGGAGUUCCCUGUCGAUCCCAAGUUUUUUUACCUGCUUAGGCUUCAUUUUUGUGAGUUUGAACCUGGUAUUACCAAGCCCAGAGACCGACAGUUUCAGAUCUACAUCGCCAAUCAAACAGCUGAAGAAGCCUGGGACAUUUUCUCGCGGAGUAGUGGAAAUGGAAGACCAAUUUACAAGGACUACGUUGUGUUCAUGCCUGCAGGCCCUGGAAGCCAGAAGACAGUUAAUCUCUCUCUCGCACUGCAAGCAAACCCAAAAGAUUUUAUGACCAAGUUCAACGAUGCAAUCUUGAGUGGGCUCGAGAUCUUCAAACUCAGUGACACUAGUCGGAAUCUUGCCGGACCCAAUCCCGACCCACCUCCUCUAACCCCACCAAAGAUGUCUCCUAAAAUUUCGAAGAAGAGUUCGACUUCUCUGAUUGCCAUCGUCGCCGGUGUAGUUUCCGGCGUACUUGUUUUAGUCUCCGUUGUCGGAAUCUUCUUGGCUUUCAGGCGAGGAGGAAAAGUCAAGGACUCAAGCUCCAGCCACGGAACAAAGUGGGGUCCAUUUUCUUUUUCGACGAACAAGUCAACCAAGAGUCGUAGCUCGUCUCUACCGUCGGAUCUGUGUCGUUACUUCUCACUGGCUGAGAUCAAAGCCGCCACCCAAAACUUCAAUAGUGUUUUCAUUAUUGGCGUUGGUGGGUUCGGCCACGUGUACAAAGGGAACAUCAACGUUGACGGUGGCGCCACCUCCGUUGCGAUCAAACGGCUGAAACCAGAGUCAUCGCAAGGGGCCCUUGAGUUCAAGACGGAGAUCGAGAUGCUUUCGCAGCUCCGCCACAACCAUUUGGUGCCGCUCAUCGGGUAUUGUACGGAUGAAGGCGAGAUGAUCUUGGUGUAUGAUUACAUGGCACGUGGGACCCUCCGCGACCAUCUCUAUCACACUGAUAAUCCACCUCUUGCAUGGGAUCAAAGGCUUCAGAUUUGUAUUGGCGCGGCACGUGGGCUGCACUAUCUUCACACUGGCGCGAAGUACACGAUUAUUCACCGUGAUGUGAAGAGCACGAACAUCUUAUUGGACGAGAAAUGGGUGGCUAAGGUUUCGGAUUUCGGGCUCUCGAAAAUGGGCUCCACCACCGUGUCCAAGACCCAUAUCAGCACGGUAGUGAAGGGUAGUUUCGGGUAUUUGGACCCGGAAUAUUAUCGUCGUCAACAGCUGACGGAGAAGUCUGAUGUGUACUCAUUUGGCGUAGUGUUGUGUGAGGUAUUGUGCGCGAGGCCGGCUUUGAUCCGUACAGUAGAGAAGAAGCAAAUGAGCUUGGCUGAGUGGACCAAAGUUUGUCAUCGGAAUGGGAAAAUUGAUCAGAUCAUUGAUCCAAGCUUGAGGGGUAAGAUUGGAAAUGCAUGUUUGAAUAAGUACGUUGAGAUCGCGGUGAGUUGCAUCCAAGAUAAUGGGAUUGAACGGCCGUCGAUGAAUGACGUGGUGUGGGGGCUUGAGUUUGCAUUGCAGCUUCAACAGAGCGGAGGAGGAGUUUUGAAUUUGAGCGAGGAGAAGAAGGGUGAAGAUGAGGAGUCAUUAAUGAAUGCUGCAAGUGAUGCAGGGUUUAGUUGUAGCUGGGAAGACUCGUCAUCGGAGUCGAAGGUUAGUAGGGUGACCAAGAGUAGUAGUGAUCACAAUUCUUCAACCAACAAGUCUAUGAAAGGAAUGUCUGGGACAGUCUUCUCUGAGAUUAACGAUCCCAAUGGAAGAUGAUUGCUCAACAAUUUUUUAAUGGAAUUCAUGUAUAUGUAUGAUAGUAUAUAUGCUACAAUUUGCAACUCAAUUUGUAACUUUGUUGUUUCUUAAAUUCCGUGAACUUAAAACUUUCUUGCAAUUGGUGUUUUUAUUUUAUUUUUUUAUUUUUAAAAAUUUUAUACAAAACAUUAAUGUAUUUGUGUGAUAGUCUUGUGACAUUAUAUAAAGUGAGCAUCGUUAUUAACAAAUAAAAUAAUCUAAAUUUGAAUAAGCCUAGUCUUGUCUUCUCAAUCCUCCAUUUUUCAGUAGCCAACUGAUAAAAACAGGGCAUCAACAUGACAAAUGUUCGAAUUGAUAGUGAUCAUCAUUGAGAAUGGUAGUUGCAACUUACUAUUUCACAUCAACACAAACAAAAAUUAAGUUGGAAGGAAGUGCAUUACGACCACACACAUAAACAAGUUGCAAAAAAAUUAGCUACUUACCUAGAGGAUGAAAUGCAUAUGCUUGAAAUUAUUUGGGCCCAACUAUACAUAAACAAUGCAAGGGGUCAUCAUUUGGCCCGCGAGCCGAAGUGGGUAGUUCGAGGCUUGAUGGGCCAAAGUUGUGUUUGGCCCAAUGGUUAGACCCGCUCAACUCGACCCGUUUUAAAGUUGGAUAGCGCUUAGUCUUAGGUUUUUCAACCUUUGGCCUAACCUGAUAAGGUUUGCCCAUGUUCCGGCCCAAGUAAGCCCGCUUAUUACCUUCUUGUUUUUUAUUUCCCCUUAUAUUGCCUUAUCUUCAUUCUAAACAUUUAAGUAAAUGUCUUGUCCUUUUACUUUAAUUUGUUUUUAUAUUACUCUAUUUACUUAAGUUUACAAUGAAAAUAAAGAAGUGCCUCCUAUUUGAAUUCAAUAAAAUAAAAAAAAACUAAAAAAUCAAAUCCGCAACAAAUCAAAAUAUGAAAGUGCAACUAUACAUGUAUUCCAUUCCAAAUUCGAAUUAAAUCAAAUACCAUCAAAUCAAAGUCUUCUCUCUUGGUCUUUUAUAUAUCUAAGACAAAGACUUUGCAAGUCAUGUGUCCCUAGUCAUCUAAGGCUCGUCACAGACUUUUCUAAUAAUCAAGACAACAUGAGGGUACAAUUAUUACAAUUCCCACUUUGUUGUUAUCUCAAGCUCCACUAGAGAAACUUCCCAACCUUUUCACCUUUCUAUCUCUGAGUCUCUCUACCCACAUCAUCAAUGACGAUAUAUGGAAAGGGCAGCAGAGUGGGGAUCACAUAUGCUCUAGUUAACUUGGAUAAACUCACGGUUGUAGUGCAUUAUCUCUUAACAAAGUGCUUAUGCACUCCACAACUUCCAACCAUUGCAAAUUGGUCGUGGGGUUGGAAUUUUGAACCAAUUGGUAAUGGGGGAUAGUGACCCAACCCCUUAUAAACCUUUACAGAAUUGUUCAACUUUCUGAUAUAAGGUAAUUCUUAUCCGCACAUGAUGCUACAUGUGUGGUGAAUUGGAAUGGGGAAUGGAGGCUGCCGCCGAUGGGGCGGAUGGCUGCUAGGGAUUGAAUUGCUUCUGGCAGAUAGAUCAAUUUGAACAAAAUCAGCAUUUGUUAUAUAGCUGAAUAUGAAUUAAACUUAAUUUUUUUUGUCCUUUGAAUAAAUAUAUGAUUAAUUAUAUUUAGCAAUGCACUAGUUUGGAUUUCAAAUUAUCAACCGUUAUGUGCAAUUUCAUAGGCUAACUUAUUCUUAUGGACCAUAACUUGCGAUUUUAGGUCAACAAAAAUAGAAGUUUGAAAUGAGUGCAUCAUUUGGGGUUAUUUCCAAGUAUAUAUAUGGGAAUACCAUCCUUGUAGAUCCGUAUGCAAAUGCUUUCCUAUUUCUUUGUUAUACACGAGUGCUUAAUUGGUACUUUGCAAACAGAUUAAUUUGGACGAGAUCAUGCCUCAAGAAUAUUAACUAGGCACGCUUUGGAUGGGCGCAUGCUUGAAAAUAAGACAACGUAUGCAUUACAGUCUCCAAUCUGUUCUCUUAUUAUCUUGUGCAAAUUGUAAUCCAAAGACUUGUUAAUUCUUCAAGUCCAUGGCCAACCCAAAAACGAAGUUAAGUUGUUAUCAAAGUUUCUAUUAAAUUGACUGAUGUUGAUCAAGAAUCUUGAAUUUAGAGUAGAUGCAACCAAAAGCUUGACUUGAAAAAGUCUUUGAUGAUCAUAUGUGUAUGUCCCCACUUGUGCAAUAGAAAUUCCAAUCAGAGAUCCACGCAUCACACAUAACAUAUCUUUGACUCUCCCUAUGUAUGUAUUCCUCAUCGAUCAUGCGUAAUAGAUUCCUUUUCCUUGGAAUUGUUAGAAAGCACAUAUAUAGUUGAAUGUGAAAUGAACUUCAACUUUCUUAGGGUGGUCAGAUUUUCAAUUUUCUCUUUUGAUUAAAUAUAUGGUUAAUUACAUUUUACACCCUUGUGGUUUGGUUUAAAAAGUAUCAACCAUUAUGUUCAAUUUUUUAUGAUAACAUAUCUCAUCAAAACUUAAUCCUGCUACUUCAACUCCUGACCCCAUACCAAUCCAACUACUAAUCUAAUCCAACCUUACUUACCAAACAUGACCGAAUGCAUAUAUGCUUGUAACUUAUAAAAAAGCACCAUCCUUUUGGUUCCCAAAUGUUAAAAACAUGACAUAACGUGUAAACAAAAAUAAAGCUUUGAUCUUACUAAAGUGCAUCAAUUGGGUUGUCAUUUUCCUAUAUAUGUAGAAUUACCAUUCUUGUAUCAUAUGCACGUGCUUUUCUGUUUCUCUUUUGUAUACAAUACAAGUGCUUAAUUGGUACUUUGCAGUGAAAUAACCUACUAAGAACAUCUUCAACAGCCUCUUUAACCGCUUUGAAACUCUAAAUUUCAUGAAAUUAAACUUUCUUGGAAUUUGUUAUACAAAACAUUAAAUGUAUUUGUAUGAUAGUUUGUGACAUUAUUUAAAGUGAGCAUCGUUAUUAACAAGUAAAAUAAUCCAAGUUAGAACAUGCGUUGUCUUGUCUUCUCAAUCCUCCAUUUUCAGUGGCCAAAUGAACCAUAUUGUGCCCAGAAGUGUAAACUGAUAAAAACAGGGCAUCAACAUGACAAUUGUUAGAAUUGAUAGUGAUCAUCAUUGGGCAUCAACAUGAUAAUGGGAUUGAACGGCAGCCGAUGACUGACAUUGUGAGGGAGCUUGAAUUUGCUUUGAAGCUUCAAUGGAGUGCUGACAACGAUAUGGACUUCAAUAUUGUUGAAACCAAUAUUUGUGAAGAUGAGGUUGCCUUCAUCAAAGAAAAGAAGGGUCUGGUAAAAAUGAGCGAAGAUGUGCGACCGACGAAUCCAUUAAAUUGAUUUCUGAGACAAUCUUUUCUGAGAUCAACAGUCCGGAUGGGAGAUGAUCGAUUAGCAACAACAUUUCUAAUGAAAUCAGAAUAAUUUGGCCACAAUUAAUGGGAGAUGAUUAUGUAAGAUGACUUAUGUGAGUUGGCCACAAUCAAUCACUUACACGUAUAUAUUAAUUUUGUUUAAACUCUUACUUUAUCUAUAAUUGGAGAGAUAGUGUUAAGGUUUAUUCAAUAUAAAAGAAUCGGUCACUUCUCUCAUAAUACAUGAGUUCUAUAGCGUGCUUGACCUAUUGAUAGAUCAUUCCAUAGUUGCCAUGUCUUCUUCGCCAGAGGCGGAUCCAUUAAGACGCAAGGAGGUGCAGUUGCACCUCCCUUCGCCGAAAAAACCAUUAUAGGUGCUUCAAACUGCCCCUUUGCUCAACUGGUGUACAGAUUACCUUAUUUCCAUUUUCUUAAUUUAUUUGUCCUUUUACUUUAAUUUAUUUUUAUAUUACUCAAUUUACUUAAGUUUACAAUGUAAAUAAGGAAGUACCCCCCAUUUGGAUUCAAAUAAAAAUACUAGAAAAUCAAAUUCCUAUCAAAUCAAAAUAUGAAAAAUCGGUUUUAGUGCAAAAUACAAUUUAGGCUAAAAAUAAUGGCUCAUUAAGUCAAUAUAUACUUCAUACUAAAAUCCCAUAAAAUCAAGUUUUCUUAUUUAAUGUGUAAGGAAUAAAAGGCGCCAAAAAUUAUCUUGAGAAAAUGAUUAUUCUGAAAAACUAUUUUUCAUACUUAAUUAAUUUUGCACCUCCGCUAAAAAAUUUCUGGAUCCGCCACUGUUCUUCGCGGUGUAUAAAGCAAUCAAUAACUCUGCUUUUAUUCAUGUGUUUAUUGUGGUAAACUUCAGUUAUGAUUACAUGUGGUAUCCGACUCUAACAAUUAAAACUUUGAAUUCACAUGAUUAAUUAAUUUAUUUAUUUUUGUCUAACCAGCUGCUUGGAAACUAGUUGUUUUAAAGAAACAAUUCAAUUGAGAGCAUGAAUUUUAUUUUUCAAUCUGUUGUUCCGCACAAUUAUCAUGCUGGUACUAACCAAUUGCAACAGGUCAAGAGUUUUUUGAAGUUUUUUUUGCAAUGUUGUUUCUGAUUGGAAAAUGUAGAUGUUUAAAAAACCAUCACCAAAUUGUUUAUUGAGUUUGAUUCAAUUAAGUGAUGAUUAUUGUAUUUUUUUUAUAACUACAUUAACAAACACCAGGAUUGAUUGACUCAUUCAAUGUUUUGGCUGGCGGCUUUAUGUAUUUUAAAGUAUUAUAAAGAAAUUAUUAUGUUUGUUAUACACAAACUUGAUCUGUUUAAAAUUCUUUUGGACCAAUUGAAUAAUCUACCAAAGUGGCUUAUUUGAUGUUAUUAUGAAAGUAUUAUGAAAGAAUUAUGAAAGAAUUCUUUUGGGCCCCCUCUAACAUCAAUUCAUGACUCUACCACUUAUUACAGGAAAGUUAUUUGAAUUCGGAUAUAGAGUAGGGAGCACAUAUGCUCUAGCUAACUUGGGUACGUCUGCAGUGCGUUAUCUCUUUAGCAAAGUACUUUUGCACUCCACAACUUCCAACUAUUGCAAAUUGGUUGUGGGAUUGGAAUUUUGAACCAAUUGGUAAUGAGGUUAUUGACCCAACCCCUUAUGAGCCUUCACAAAAUUAUUUAACUUUCCAAUAUAAGGUAAUUCUUCAUAUCCUCACACAUGCUUCAUGUGUGGUGAAUUGGAGUGGGGAAGGGAGGCUGCCACCAAUGGGGCGGAUGGCUGCUAUGGAUUUAAUUGCUUCUGGCAAAUAGAUCAAUUUGAACAAAAUCAGCAUUUGUUAUAUAGUUGAAUAUGAAUUGAACUUAAAUUUUCUUUGGUCUCCAGUCUAUUCUCUUAUUAUCUUGUGCAAAUUGUAAUCCAAAGACUUGUUAAUUCUUCAAGUCCACGGCCAACCCAAAAAAGAAGUUUAAGUUGUUAUCGAAGUCUAUUAAAUUGACUGAUGUUGAUCAAGAAUUUUGAAUUUAGAGUAGAUGCAACCAAAAGCUUGACUUGGAAAAGUCUUCGAUGAUCAUAUGUGUAUGUCCCCACUUGUGCAAUAGAAAUUCCAAUCAGAGAUCCACACACCCACACAUAACAUAUCUUUAACUCUCCCUAUGUAUAUAUAUAUAUAUAUAUAUAUAUAUAUACAUGUAUCAUGAACAUGUAUAUAAUAACCCAAGCAUCAAACAAACACCUUGAUACAAUUACCAUGAUGAAACCAAUUCUCAGCACUAAUCUCUACUUUUCCUUUUUUCUGCACAUGAUCGUCGUCACCAUAUUCGUUGCCAGCGAUUUGCCACCUAUCUACAAUGCAGUCGAAGAUAUCACCAUCAAUUGUGGCUAUUCCGGCCACAUAUUCAAUGCAUAUGAUCAGCGAAAUUGGACUGGAGAUAUCAACUCAACAUUUUCACCCUUUGAACACCAAGCAAUUGGCAACACAUCCAUAUUCAAAGAAGCACCUCAUUCGUACACCGUCCCACAAGUGCCUUACACCAGAGCUAGGCUUUCUCACUUUGAAUUUACCUAUAGAUUUUUUAACCUCACCCCCGGCCAAAAGUUCGUCCGUCUGUAUUUCUUCCCAGCUUCAUACCCCGACUUUGAUCCCUCCAAAGCCUUCUUCUCUGUCAAAGCCGGUGGCUUUACCCUUCUCCACGACUUCAAUGCUUCAGUCACUGCUGCUGCUUCUGGGUCGGAGGAGACGGUAUAUAGAGAAUUCUGUAUGAACAUUGAGGAAGAAGAAGAAGAACCUAGUUUAAGCAUCACGUUCACUCCAAGCAGAGCAAUCCAAGAUGCCUACGCGUUUAUUAACGGAAUUGAAAUUGUAUCAAUGCCCGUCAAUUUAUACUACACUCCACGUGGGAUUCAAUAUGUAGGCAAUGAAAACAUCUUUCGCAUUGAAAACAACACUGCUUUGGAGGCGGUGUACCGAAUCAAUGUGGGCGGUAAGGCACUCUUUUUUGGUAAAGACACUGGCAUGUACCGCAAUUGGAAUGCUUAUGGAGACGAGCAAAUUCACUUGGAAGAGUUGAGUCUUAACCGUAGUGUUUUGCCGCAAAAUGAUAGUAUCCAACUCCAUUUUGCCAAAAUCCCAGAGUACUCUGCUCCAAAAGAAGUUUACCAAACCGCUCGGGCAAUGGGCAACGACACAGCCAUAAACAAGAGCUACAACCUGACAUGGCAAUUUCCUGUUGAUUCCAAUUUCAAUUACCUGGUUAGGCUUCAUUUUUGUGAGUUUCAGGCUGGAAUUUGGGAGAUCGGAGAUCAAGUGUUUCUAAUUUACCUGGAUAAUAUACCUGCUGAAAAAACAGCGGACAUAAUUGAGUGGAGUGGCGGGAAUGGGUUUCCAAUAUACAGAGACUACUUGGUGUCCAUGCAGCUUCCGAGCUCAACUGGAACUGGAAGCAAGGCGAAAGUGAAUCUCACCAUCGCACUGCAGGCAAACCCACAUGAUUGGAGGACUUUAAUCAGCGAUGCAAUGUUGAAUGGUCUCGAAAUCUUCAAACUCAACAACUCAUACGGCAAUCUCGCGGGACCCAACCCCGAUCCACCUCUUAUGGACCCAACAAAUACGACGUCGUCGUCAGGCCCAGAAAAACCCAAGUUGAGGAAUACUCAUUUGCUCGCUAUUGUUGCUGGUGUAGUUUCCACCACAAUUGCACUGCUCUCUGUUCUAGGGUUAUUCUUGGCUUUCAGGCGACGACAGAAACUCAAGGACUAUGAUGGUUGCUCCACCCGCGGAGCAACCAACUCAACCAAAAGUCGGGGCUCAUCCUUACCGUCCAAUUUGUGUCACUACUUUUCCUUGGCGGAGAUCAAAGACGCCACCCGAAACUUCAGCGAAAUUUGUAUUAUUGGGCGUGGCGGGUUCGGUAACGUUUACAAAGGGUACCUCGAUGGUGCGGCCACCCCCGUUGCGAUCAAACGGCUGAAACCCGAGUCAUCACAGGGGGCCCACGAAUUCAAGACGGAGAUCGAGAUGCUCUCCCACUUACGGCACCGUCAUUUGGUAUCGCUGAUUGGAUAUUGUGCAGAUGAAGGUGAGAUGAUCUUAGUGUAUGACUUCAUGGAUCGUGGGGCUCUCAGCGACUAUCUCUACCACAAAGAUAACCCAUCUCUUCCCUGGGAACAACGACUUGAGAUCUGUAUCGGGGCAGCGCGUGGGCUGCACUACCUUCACACAAGUGCGCAGUACACCAUCAUUCACCGAGAUGUAAAGAGCACGAACAUCUUAUUGGAUGAGAAAUGGGUGGCUAAAGUCUCGGAUUUUGGGCUUUCAAAAAUGGGAACCACCAGCAUGUCCAAGACCCACAUCAGUACAAUGGUGAAGGGUAGUUUUGGGUAUUUAGACCCAGAAUAUUACCGGCGUAACCAAUUGACAGAGAAGUCUGACGUGUACUCUUUUGGCGUGGUGUUAUUUGAGGUAUUAUGUGCGAGGCCAGCUUUCUUACGAACAGCGGGGAAGAAACAGAUGAGUUUGGCUGAGUGGGCCAAGAGCUGUCAUCGCGAAGGGACACUUGAUAAAAUCAUUGAUCCGAGCUUGAAGGGUAAGAUUGGAAAAGCGUGCCUGAAUAAGUUUGUUGAGAUGGCGAUAAGUUGUAUUCAUGAUAAUGGGAUCCAACGGCCGUCGAUGAAUGACGUGGUGUGGGGGCUUGAGUAUGCAUUGCAGCUUCAUCAAAAAGCGGAGAGAGAUUUAGAUUUCAAGGGUGAAGACAAGGUUGCAUUAAUGAACGAUAAUGAUGCUGCACCUGCAGGGUUUAGCACGAGUUGUUGUUGGGAAGAAGAAGAGGCGUCGAAUUCAUUGAACAGUAGUGGGCUGGCCAAAUUAAGCAGCAGUGACCAAAAUUCUACUACUAACGAAUCGAUUAAAGGGAUGUCUAGGAUAGUGUUUUCUGGGAUCAACGAUACCGAUGGGAGAUGAUAUUUAUUUGUAUUAAUAUGUGCCUUUUUUCUUUGAUCGACCUUGUAAUUUGGUUUUUUCUUAUAUUCUGUGAAUGAAUUCAUUAAUUAAACUUUCCAAAUAGAUUAGCACCGUCUGUUCAUUUUUCAUGACAAAUAAAAUAAAACAAAAAUGGAGUUCAAUGAAUUUGUAAAAGUCAUGUACUUAAUGUCACAAGUUCCACAAUUUAAUUUCCAUUCAAUUAUUAAAAAAUUAAAUAUAAAUAUUAUAAUUUUCUACUAAAUUCUCAUUCCACUUUACUCCAGUAUUUAUUGAACGGAUAUUGAACGGAUUUGAUUACUGAAGGGGAGGUGGGAUUGGAGGGUCCCAUGCCUUGCCCGGGCUGCCUUUUGCGCGCUGGAGGUCCAAAUCUUGCUGGGGGGCCUAUUGCCAGGGCAGGGUGGCUUGCGCUGCCCUUGCUCAAAUGGUAAGGUGUAUGAUUGAAGUAAGUUGUGUGGUGAAUGAAUUAAUGACAUGUUUACUAAUCCGUAAUUGGAUUAGGAGGAAUUGAAUUGAGGAUGAAUUAAAUUGAGGAUGAAUUGAAUUAAGGAGGAGUUGAAUUCAGGAGAAUUAGAUUCCGGAUUCCUAAUGAAGUUGUUUACUAAACCAUAUGGAUUGAGGGGAGUUAGAUUCCGAAUUCCUAUUGAAGUGUUUACUAAAUCAUGUGGAAUUGAGGUAGGAGUGGUAUUAAUUACUAAAAUGUCCUCAUUUUUGGGUUAAAGUAGAUGACAUAUUUGGAAUUUUGAAAAUUGUGUGAGGAUAUAAUGGGUAAAAAAAAUGAAUUCCUAAUGGGUGAAUUCUCCAGGAAUUAAAAUACCACAUCCCAUUCCGAAAUUGAAUUCCUCCAAAAUCAGGAAUUCAAUUCCUAAUUUUGUGUGGGCCCCGCUUACUUUUCAAUUUCUUGAUGUGAAGUAAACGAAAGAAUUCUCCAUAGGCGAAAUUCAAUUCCUGAUUAGUAAACACACCAUAAAUAUACACAGACACAUGAAUCAUGAUCUCGGUGGACGUGGACCAGGCCAACCAAAUAAAUGAGUGGUUUUUAUUAAGUUCGUGGGCGAAGGGGCAGAAAGAAACUGGCAAUAUCCAAGGAGGAAGGUGCCAAUGGAGCUUGUCACAUGCUUUAACUUGUAACCAUAGAACGUGCAACUUUGCUAGUCGCUUUUAGUUUUUCAAGUGGUUGUUUGUACAAUUAGCUCGCAACUUGCAUGGUCCAAAAAUUGAUUGAAUACAACAGCUAGGCCAAGUGAAAGAGUAACACUACUCUUGGAUAGUCAUAGUGUAGUGGAUGUGGAUCCAUAUCGAAUUCAUUAGAAAUAUGGGAUCAUCAGUCGUCGUAGGUGUUUUUGUUAUUAUGCUGACCACAGCGAUGGUGUCUCAGCUGCCCAGCACAAGCCAUUGCCUGAUGAACAAGAGCAGCAGCAGCACUGGCUCCUUCUCUAACUGGUGCAUUAAUGGGAGCACCCACCAAUAUUGCCAGCAGCUUAUUAUUCCACAGGAGGAGGAGGACGUAGAUCAGUUGGAGUCGGAGGCUAUGAAUAUGAUCAUGAAGCAUCUGCUGGUGGUGGAUGAUUCACAUCACGAAAUUAGCGACGAAAUUAGCAACAGAAUGCUGCUUGUCCGUCAUGAUAGCAAAAUUACUCAAGAAUCGUUUAUAAAGUACAAGCCGGUAGUUAACUGUGGCAGAAGACUACUAAAACUAUAUCCUCCUUUCCCAAAAAGGAAUAAGGGCACGAGGCUUUCUUCCGAAAUUUCGGCAGAGUCUCCCUUGUAGAUUGGACUUUUCUCAAAUUUCCAGCCUAUUAAAACACAAUUAAUAUAUCCCAACAGCAGCAUGCACAAUAUAAUAACAUGGAAUUCACAUAAACGGCCUUCGGCCUUUAAAUAAUCCGAAGUAAAACCACCAACAAAGCUCUUAAGUCAAAAAAUGAAAUUAAACCAUGUAUUUAAUGAACUCAACUAGUUUACGCAUACCCACCAUAAUUAACCCCAAACAACCUCCCAAUGUUCAUCAUGCGGUAUUUAACAAACAAACACAAACGCAAGUAGAUUAAGGACUCGGUCUAAAUCAUACAAUGAUCCAGAACGGGUUCCAAAACUGUCUUGCUCACAACCACAUUUCAACAACACUCACUUAGUCAAAUGGGAAAAUGAAAAAUCAAUCAAUCAAGCCUCGUUUUCAAACGAGUUUAAUAACCAUUGAAAAAGUCGAAACUGAAUUCAUCUAAAGACCAAAAUAACUUUAGUUCGCAGCUGCACCUAGGUAAGACCUCUGGCUACCUACGUACUCCUUUUAUGAGGGAUCAAGCCACACGUAGUUCUAACAUCAACAGCCACGACUCUAAUAAUAUACAAUCUUUUUCCUUUUAAAUAAAACUAACGAAUGACUUCAGAUUCCUUAUUAUAUCAAAUUCGACAAGGCAACCUCUGACCACUUUAUGAGUUUCUUUCUUUUAUCAAUCUUUUCCGCUCAACCAUACCCUAUUCAAGGCGUAUGUUGCAAAAUAGUAACUCCAUAUCCAGGACUUAGACAUUCAUACUUGUGCAAGGUAAUUACAAAGCACAAACUCAAGAAUCUCAACCCGCAAACAAAUCCUUAUAUAUAAGUAUUUAAUAUAUAUAAAUAUAAUUAUACCCACUUCCCACCAUCCUCAUGUACCAGGGACAACAAUCCAAUCCGGGGAUCAUUUGACUAGACCACAUGGAGGAGUCCUCAACAACCAUGUGGCUAGGGAACGAGCCGUUCAAUUGGGGGACUAACUCUCAGCCAGCACGUACAGCCGAAACCCUUAAGACUUGUACGCCUGUGACAAGUCCUACGCGUGCAGACUACCUAAUCAAGGGUCUAUGGUAACACCCCAUUAAGGUAUGCCCAGGGUUCCCAAACCAUAUUGAUAAUUCCAAAUAUCCAUUUCGAUUCCAGAAUCUGUAUCCAAGGAAGCCCACAUGCCUGAAAAACGCCACGUGUGGGUAUAGUAACCAGGGAAGGUACAUAUGAUGGUGGAGUUCAUAACCCUUAUAACCAUAUUAUAAAAAGCAAUGUUCCCUUCCUUAUUUCAAUUGUUCCAAAUAUUUAUUCAUAGUAUAGACAAUAAACUCUCAAGCAUAUAAUCCAUAUUCAGGGAGGUACAUAAGGUAGUGCUAAUAGCACUCAAACUAACAUUCUAAACUCACAUCUUUCCAACAUCUAACAACACCACCCCAAGUACCCCACACAUAAUCAACAUAGAUAGCUCUUUUUCAAAAUAUUAUAUAUAUGAACUCAAGAUACUAUCAAGUAUGUCAAAACCCACAUAUAUCACAAAUACUUUACAAAAAUGAUAAAUUUAACUAUUAAAUAUCAAAUGAAUUUCAAUAAACCAUUAAAUUCAUAUGCAUAAAAUUUCCAUCACAAAGCCAUGCUAUUUAUUUGAAAACAAUGUACACUCACUAAAAUCAUAGCCGAACCCAAAGCUCACUUUCAUAACUCACCCAACUCAAUUAACCCAUAUUCAUUCAUUCCAUAAUUUCAAUUAUUAAAAUAAUAUCCAAGAAUUUUCAUACGAUAAUAAAAACAAUCUCAAAAUCCCAACAUAGUCAACAUAACUCAAAUAACGGUCGAGACUCAUUAAUAAAGUCGUUCUAGUCCUCCUUGAAGGGUGAAACUAUCUCGGAAGACUCACGGUUAACCAAGGGGUUAAACUACCUAAACUUGGUCAGUCGGGCCAGCGAGACCCACGACCUCUGUUUUACGAUCCAAAAGUUCCUAUGGGUUCUACAAGGUUUAGGAUACACGUUCUGCAAGUUUGGUCCGAAUCGGACAUUCGAAUCGCUCACGAUCACAGGAUCAGACAGUUAUCGUAAAACACAAACCUUAAGUUAUUGAAUCUGAACAUCCGGGCUCCGAUUCAGGAUCUGUGAAAUCCUACACGACCCUAGGAAUGCCUAGACGAACAUAUACUAAAUUGGAGUCGAUCCAAUGGUCCGAACUUGUCGAACCCAGAUAACGCCCAAUAUGCGACAUCCGAUUGAUGAUCAAAAGAUAACCAAAUUCAAAUCCGAGCAUACCGUCGUGCUCGGGACGACAAGAGGGUUAUUUUAGGACUCUAAGACAGACCACCACAUGGCCCACGCGCCACCACACGCACUGGCAGCGCGUGGGUGUCCAUAACAAUUUCUGGCGACCGGAAAAACUCCAAAUCGCGGUCAAGACCUAUAUUUAUGCGAAGAGCACACUGAGUGGGGCAACUUUUGUUCUUGGACCUACCCCAAAAAGUAGCUUGAGGUGGCGGGAAUCAUGGGCCGAAACCGGCCAAAACUUCUAUCGCUUAAUUGACAACCAAACUGCAGAAAUUGAUCCUAAAUAACCCAACUAGCAGCUAGAUCACAAUGAGAGGAUGGAAAAGCAUACCUAGAUUGCAAGAUUUGGUUGCCGGAAACGUCCAAUACAUGCUUCAAAGUUAGCUACUCAAAGAAACAAAAUAUCAGAAUUCACAUAACAUAGAGAAACCGAAAUCAUCACGCUUGUAGAAACUGAAAAAUCCAUUCAAACUUGUUUAUAGAAUUGAAAUUAUGUUUAGGGCUUCAAGAUUAAGCCCUAACUAACAAGAAAUUAGUUACUCAUGUUCUUGGAUGAACUCAAAAAUAAAUACAUAAGAACUGAAAAUUAAAAGAAGAAAGGAAAAGAAAGAACUUGUUGGCAGCUUUUUCCUCUUGCGCGGUUGAUCUUCUUAGGACGUGAAUUCUUUGUAUCGGGGCCUUGACUGGCCUUUUAUAUCACUUAUAUCAGAGUUCUAAACCCUAAAAUUGACUGAAAAGUCGUCUAAAAAGUCUUGGUUAACAAGGAAUCCAAAUAGGAAAGUAAAGAUCACAAUUCCAAACUCCAUAGGAAGAUACAGCUCAGCCUAAUUGUCACAUGAUUUGGAUAUAUUUGGCCUUUUAGAAAAAUCAUUAAAAAUAUAUUUUAGAAAGAUGAAUGUCUUAUAUUUCCAACCGUAUAUAGCACAUAACUUGGAAAAUUCGGGAAAGCUUCCGUUUCUUCGCAUUCACAUAACAUGUACGAAACUGUCCUGUCUGCACGUAGGCUAACUUUACUUGUAAUACUGUACCAAUUGGCUUUCAUCUUGAACUUCAAGAUGUUAGCUUUCAUCUCCAAUUGUCUUGUGCUAAAAUUCCUCCAAAAAGUUGAUUUUUCCUUAAAAACCUUCUAAGAGUGCAGAAAAGCUAAAAAUUAGAAAAGUAAAGUAAUAAGUGUGAAGACUCGUAUUUUUAAAAAUAUAUAUAUAUAUUUUGCUGUCUAUUUAGUUAUAUAUUUAAAUUGAUUAAAUAUAUAGUUGUUUUAUCAUUGUAAUAAUUAUAUGUAUUUAAACAAUUAACUAGCUCUAAAGUGGACGUGUAGUUUGUGUUUUAUCAAGUUACUUUUUCCUUAUCAACAACCCAUGACUUGGAGUUAGCACGUGGAGGUUUUACAUGCAUUCUUAGUAAUAGAAUUUUGGUAGAGCAACACGUAGGAACCCAUUUUAACUUGAGGUGGCUUGUCCAAAUUCAUCCCAUUGACACAUGCAAAUACUUAGUCUUUAAAUAUAGUAGAUACUUAUAUUUCCUUGGAGAAUAAGUAGGUUCUAUUUCUUGGAGAAUAAGUACACAGGAUCUCUUUUAAUUGGUUAAUAGUUGCCUCAGUUAUUAGACCAAUAAGAAGCUAAUAGCAACCAAACUUCUUCUAGUAUAAAUAGGCCUAUCCGUUGCAUCUUGUGAAAAACACACAAACCUUGUGUAUUAAUUGAGGUUACACAUUGCAUGCAUCGCAUGCAAAGAGUUCUUGAGAGAGCACUACUACAAAAAAGCAAAAAGACGACGGUAAAUCACCGUCGUGUAUUCGGUUUUUCAAUAGUCGUGGAAUCUACCGUCAUCUUUUCCCUCAUAAAACACGACGCUAAAUUACCGUCGUUGUUAAAAUAUACAACGUCAUCAACAAAUACAAAACGACGUCUUUGUACUGCAAAAAGAUCUAAAAAAGCAGUCGAGGAUGAGAAUAGACGACCAACUCUCUAAAAAAACCGUCGUUAAAAAGGAAAAAUAUGACACAUAUUAACAGAACAAGGCCGCAAGAUAGACAUACAACGACCAAAAUUAAAAUAAGACGCCGUUAAAUAUCAUUUUCACGACAAUAAAAAAUAUGACGUCUUUAAAUACAUUAGAAGACGACGUUAUUGAUACCUACUACGUCGCCUAUAUAAAAACAGCCGUCGUAAAAUAAAUUUUCCACUUCGAUUUUUCUAUAAAAGAUGACGUGGAAAUAAUUGUCAGUGUCAUUAUUUACGACGUAUGUAUUUAUAGAGUAGACGUUGAACAACGAAACAAUGUAAGAUCCCACAUCAAACCAACGGAGAGGGGGGUGAUGUGCCUUAUAUGGCACACCCGCAUCCAUCUAGCACGAGGCCUUUUGGGAGCUCACUGGCUUCGGAGUUGUAAGAACUCCGAAGUUAAGCGAGUGGGAGGCUGGAGCAAUCCCAGGAUGGGUGACCACCCUGGGAAGUUGCUUCGUGAGCUCCCAGAAACAAAACCGUGCGGGCAGUGAGAGGAGGGCCCAAAGCGGACAAUAUCAUGCUACGGCGGAGCCGGUCCGGGGUGUGACAAUUUGGUAUCAGAGCCACUCUGCCGUGUGGUGCGAGUGUGCCGACGAGGACGUCGGACCCUUGAGGGGGGUGGAUUGUAAGAUCCCACAUCAAACCAACGGAGAGGGGGGUGAUGUGCCUUAUAUGGCACACCCGCAUCCAUCUAGCACGAGGCCUUUUGGGAGCUCACUGGCUUCGGAGUUGUAAGAACUCCGAAGUUAAGCGAGUGGGAGGCUGGAGCAAUCCCAGGAUGGGUGACCACCCUGGGAAGUUGCUUCGUGAGCUCCCAGAAACAAAACCGUGCGAGCAGUGAGAGGAGGGCCCAAAGCGGACAAUAUCGUGCUACGGCGGAGCCGGUCCGGGGUGUGACAAACAAUGUCGGUUACAAAUAUAUGAGAGUCGUAUUACAAAAUUUAUAUGUCUUAUUUUCAGAAACAAACAACGACGAUAAAUAUUAGACGUUGUUAAAUAAAACAACGUCGAAAACAAAUAAAAACAGACGUGUUUAGUCUGCUAAAGUUCUAAGACAUACAACGACGACAACUAAAACACUACGCCGUUAAAUAUAAUUUUCACGACAAGAAAAAAUAUGACGUCUUUAAAUACAUGAGAAGACGACGUUAUUGAAAUCUACUACGUCUCUUAUUUACAAACAACCGUCGUGAAAUAAAUUUUCCACUUCGAUUUUUCUAAAAAAGAUGACGUGGAAAUAGUUGUCAGUGUCAUUAUUUACGACGUAUGUAUUUAUAUAGUUGACGUUGAAAUGCGAAACAACGUCGGUGGCAUUUAUAUAGUCGACGUUGUAUUUAUAUGUAUUCAUUACUCACGACGCACUUAUUAAUAUAGACGACGUUGAACUUCUAAAUAAUGUCGGUUCCAAAUAAAUGAGAGCCGUAUUACAGAACAUAUAGACGGCGUUGAUUAUGAUGAGAGCCGUAUUACAAAUAACGUCGUUUAAUUGAUAUUAGACGACGAUUAUAAUGAAUUACCGUCGGAAUUCAUUUCGUUCCUCUUCGUUUAUAAAAGAACUUGCGACGUGGAAAAUGUAUGAUGACGUCGUAUUUUUUAACGUUCAGAUUAUAUAUCUCAUUUUUUAGACGUCGGUAUUAUGGGAUUGGAGUCGUGUUAUUUUGAAUUACAUGACGGUUCUUAAUCCUUCCCCGACGUGAUAUCCUGAAUAAUUGCUUCACAAUAGCGUCGUGGUUCUUCAUUGUUACGUUGCUUUAAGACGUCGGUAAAUAUGCUGAAUAACUGGUUCACAAUAACGUCGUGUUUUAUUUGAACGUAGAAAGUGAAGAAAUCACAUUACAAUAUAUUACAAAAUUAAUGUCAUACACUGCCAAUUAUAUAAGCAUCAUUCAAUCCAUAUAUCUUCACACCCAUCUCGAAUAUUUUGACCACCUAACUCACCCACCAGUUCAUCAAAUGUGUCAACAUUUGGCAUCCCUCUAGUAAAUGGCUCACACUCAAUUAUCACAUCACCUAAGACUUCAUCACCAAUAACAUCAUUAUAUUCUCUAUUAGGCAUUGAUAACACUACCGACCAACCACGAUGCAUCGGGUCGUCAACAAAAAAUAUUUGUUUGACUUGAGAAGCCAAAACAAAUUGGUCAUUCCUAUGUCCAAUUUUACUCAAAUCUACAAGGGUAAAUCCAAGUUCGUCGACUACAAGACCAGAACUAUCUAUCCAAUCACACCUAAAGACUGGGAUUGUAAACUUUUGGUAGUCAAGGUCCCAAAUUUCUUGAAUGACACCAUAGAAACCCAUAUUUGAGAGAAUUGGGUUUUUAUCCUUGGCACUAGCAACUUGCAUGGUAUGUGCAAGUAAAUAAACUCCACUAUUUUGAGUUGUCCGCACAUCAUCUUGUGCCUUGAUAUUGAAUUUAAUAUCUUUAAUAAGAUAGCUCCUAUAUAAUGGCACUGCCAUGUUUGGACCAGCUGCUAGCCACCUUAAAUUUUCUGAUAAGCCAUGAUUGUCUUCCUCAAGUUCACUUUGAACCUGCAAAUUAAUCAUAUCUUAAUUCAAUCUAACAUAGAAAUAAGAAGAAAAUUAAAAGAGAAAUAUGUUAUUCAACAACAUAUACCUUGAAGCGUAGCCAUUGAAUGAAAGUGCUAUUGUGCUUAUCCUGCAGCUACUUUGUUCUCUUUCUAAAUUUUGGAUAAGCAGUCUUGAUGUGGAUCAUAUGUUGCCUACAUGACACGAAAAAUUCAAGCAUUACGGUCCCAAAUAUAUAAGAUAAACAUAAGAAAUAAUUUAAAAUGGAAACUUAAAGAAUAAAACUCAUACGUACUCGAUAUAAGGUAGGACUUCCUCCGUAUUCUCCAAGACAUAUAGAUGUGCUUGAUUCAACAGGUCCUGAUCAACUACGCUCACUGUGCAACCUGAUAAUGGCUUUGAAACUCCCAUCUUUUGGCUUGAAGGCACUCCAACUGUACUAACAUCAGAUAAAUGCUGAGUAUAAAACUCUACCGCUUCUUCAGCUAUAUACCGCUCAGCAAUGCAACCUUCGGGACGAGUACGAUUCUGAACAUCUUCAGCACUUUCAUAUAUCUUUCAAACGGAUACAUCCACCUAAAAUAUACUGGCCCACAUAGACGAACUUCUCUGACAAGAUGUACUACUAGAUGAACCAUGAUAUCAAAGAAUGAAGGGGGAAAGUACUUCUCAAGCAAACACAGAGUAACUACUACAUCUUCUUCCAACUUAUCUAGCUUGGAAACAUCAACAGUCUUUGCACAUAUAGCAUUGAAGAAGAAGCACAAAUGAGUUAUUGCAUACCUUGCAAGCUUCUCCAAAACAGAACGAAUUGCCACAGGGAGCAAUUGUUGCAUUAAGGUAUGACAAUCAUGUGAUUUAAGGCCAAGAAGUCUUGAAUCUUGUAAAGAUACAAGAUUUUUAAUAUUUGAAGAAUAACCUUCAGGAACCUUCAUACCAUAGAAAGAAUUGCAAACCUCUCUCUUCUCUGCUCUUGACAAAUUCCAAGGCCCAGGAGGCAAACGAGUACGUCUUUCUCCAUACUCGGGUUGCAAAUCAGUUUUGGCCCCCAUGUUCAAUAAAUCUAAUCGAGCAGCAAUCCCAUCUUUAUUUUUUCCAAGGAUCUCCAGCAAUGUACCAAUGAUACUAUCGCAAACAUUCUUCUCAAUGUGCAUAACAUCUAGGGCAUGCCUCACAGGAAGGUAUUUCCAAUACUCGAGAUCAAAGAAUAUUGAUUUCUUCUUCCAACAAACUUUGUCACCAUUUUCAACCAUAUGCAGCACUUCUUCUCCGGUUAAUGGCUCGAGAGGUAUGCCAUAUUCAGGUUUCCCAUUAAAAGCUGCACGUUGCCUCCUAUAUGGAUGAUUGAUUGGUAACCAUUUUCUUUGCCCAAUGUAACAAAUUUUGUGGCCAUUUUUCAACCUGUGACUAGGUGAAUCAUCGCCGCAUAUUGGACAAGCUUUAUAUCCUUUAACAACACAACCAGAUAAGUUUUCAUAGGCGGGGAAAUCAUUAAUUGUCCACAUUAAUGCAGCUCUGAGUGUAAAGUAUUCUCCAUUAUGUGCAUCAUACACUACUCUAAUCCCAUCCCACAAAGAUUUUAAAUCAUCAAUCAAAGGCUCCAAGUAGACGUCUAUAUCAUUUCCGGGUUGUUUAGGACCGGAAAUCAAUAAGGUUAACAUCAUGAACUUUCGUUUCAUGCACAGCCAUGGAGGGAGAUUAUAUGUAACUAAGAUAACCGGCCAACAACUAUAUCUGCUACUUAUAGAACUGUGGGGAUUGAAUCCAUUAGAUGAAAGAGCCAAUCUCAAGUUUCUCGGCUCAUUACCAAACUCAGGCAAUUUAUCAUUAAGAAGUUUCCAAGACGGGGAAUCCGCCGGUUGAGACAUCUGACCGUCAAUUGAUUUUCUAGCAGCAUGCCAAGUCAAACUCUUAGCUGUCUCAUGUGAUUGAAACAUCCUUUUAAACCUUGGAAUUGGAGGAAAAUACCACACCACCUUCGCUGGCACACCCUCUUUCAAGAUUGAAUCUUUGCCUUCCUUCCACCUUGAGAUACCACAAGUAGGACAAUUAGUUGAAUCCUCAUACUCCUUCCUAUACAAGAUGCAAUCAUUGGGGCAUGCGUGCAUUUUCUCAUAACUCAGCCCCAAUGCACACAAAGUCUUUUUAGCCUCAUACAUAGAGGUUGGUAUUGUAUUUCCUUCUGGAAGCAAAUCGCCUUGAAGUAUCAAUAAUUUUGUAAAACAGACAUCACUCAUCCCAUGUUUUGCCUUUAAAUUAUACAACUUCACUAAUGCCGAUAACUUCGUGUACUUUCUACAACCAGGGUACACUGGUUGAUCUCCAUCCCCAAUCACAUUGGCAAACUCAUACGGAUCGGAACCAAUAUCACCAAAAUCAUUAUCAUCCAUAUCAAUUUCUUCAGACACAAAACUGUACCUACUAUGGCCAUCAUCUUCUUCAACAUUUCUACUAGCAUUAGUAGUUGCUUCCCAAGGUUCUCCGUGAAAUGUCCAAUUCUUAUAGCUUUGGUCAAUUCCAUUAAAGUAUACGUGAUCCCUUAUAAUUCCAACCCCAAAAAACUUCAAAUUAACACAUUUAACACAUGGACAACGGAUAUGUGUUGUAGUUAGAAGAUUUUCUACAGCAAAGUUCAAAAAUGCUUCCACCCCAAACUCAUAUGCCUUCGAUCUUCUAUCCGAGUGCAUCCAUGACUUAUCCAUCUCCGACACUAUAACCUAUUAUCUAUAAUAAAGUGAAAAUACAGGCAAUGACCAUCACUAUAGCAGAUUAUACAAAGAUCUAAUAGCAAGUAAUACACAACAGAGACGACGGGUUUUAAACAAAAACAGACGUAUUUGGCAUAUAUAGACGACGGAUUUUCAACAGACGUCGUCUAAUAUAAGUAAUACAAAUGACGGUUUAUGAAAAAACCGUCGUGUAUAAGUAAUACAACGACGGUAGUUUAAAAAAACCGUCUUGUAAUCGUCGUCGUAUGCCUAAAAAGGCGUCGUGUCUCAGUUUAUUUUCAAGAACCCAAAACCCAUUAAGAACACAACAUAUAUAUGAAACCAAGCAAGAAACCAACAUAUACAUGAAACCAAGCAUGAAAACAAUAAAUCCAUUCCCAAUUCAACAUAACAUAGGGUGAUUAAAAGAUCCGAAAAAAUUAAAUCCAUUCCCAAUUCAACAUAACAGAUAAUGUAAUCCAUAAACCCAUUAAACAGAAAAUCCAUGAACCCAUACCUAUAAGCACAUUAUUAACAGAUCGCAAAGCAUAUGCCUAAAACCCUUUAACAAAACAAUCUAAUAUCAUUCAAUGAAUUUACAAGGGGAAGAUAGGGUUUGUACUUACAGGUUGGACGAGCUCACAGAUUCGACGGAGCCUGGAGAGUGCAACUUUUAAUUAGAGCAGAAGUGAGAGAGCGAAAUGUUAUGUUGCGCGAAAUCUGAAAAUUUUAGGGUUCAGGGUUAGAAGUAUAAGAAUAAGAGCCAAAUCUAAAAAAUUUAGGUCGCGCGAAAAUUUUUAGAGAGCGCGCUCUUUAAAACGUCGAAAGAAAAACCAUGGCGAAAGUUCUACAAGAACCGACGUAAAUGUAAUAUUCCACGACGGAAACACUGAACGUAACGCCGUUUAUUUUGACGCUUCAUUUUUCGGAUUAAUUUUAAAUUUAUUUUGAAUAUUUUGAUAUAAAGACGACUGAAAAACCACGUCGGGGUUAAGAAAUUGAAGACGUUGUAAAUUAUAAUAGACGACUUACAUAUUAAAAUGACGUCGUUUAAAGUAUAAACCAUGUCGGAUAUUUUACUGCACGACGUAACAUAUGUAUUCCACGACUCAACCACCGUCGUUAAAAAUUAAUACCCUAAACCCUUAAAACUAAAUUAUAUAAUUUAAAAAAUUAAGUUUAUAAAAGGGUUUAUGGUUUUACAGCCUAAUAUAUACCCUAGACUACCCAAAAAUUAUACUUUAAAAAUAUACCCCAAUAAAUAACAACCCUAAUCUCUAAACCCUAGACUCUAAACCCUAAACCAUAAAACUAGAAGUGAUUUUAUGACUCAUCAAAAUAAUUUUAUUUUGGAUGGUCAUUUUAAAUUUUUGUUAUUCAAAAUGAAUUUUUUCAAGGUUUAGGGGGAAGAAAAUAUAUCAAUGACUUCAUAGGAGUUGACUUUGCAUUUUUCUGAUUUAUUUUAAAUUUAUUUUGAAUAUUUUGAUAUAAAAAUAAUAAAAUAUUCUUAUCACAAUAACAAACCACGUCGGGGUUAAGAAAUUGAAGACGUUGUAAAUUAUAAUAGACGACUUACAUAUUAAAAUGACGUCGUUUAAAGUAGAAACCAUGUCGGAUAUUUUACUGCACGACGUAACAUAUGUAUUCCACGACUCAACCACCGUCGUUAAAAAUUAAUACCAUAAAUCCUUAAAACUAAAUUAUAUAAUUUAAAAUUUUAAGUUUAUAAAAGGGUUUAUGGUUUUACAGCCUAAUAUAUACCCUAUACUACCUAAAAAUUAUACUUUUAUGUCGGAUUUGUUUAAAAUGAAACAACAAAAAACUACGGUUUUUCACUUUAUUAGGUCGUUGGAAAAGUAUUACACGUCGGUUACGCAAUUUGUAUGUUUGUUUUUUUUUAAUUUAAGAAAACCUCAACAAAUUUUUACAUUAUAUAUUAUAGACAAAAUUUAUACAUUAUACAUCAAUAUCAAGUGUUCAAUAAUUUCCCUAUUCUAUGUGAAGGCAAACAAACUCUGCCCAUUCAUUCCGGACUUCAUCAAUUGCUUCUUGGGGGUAUGGCGCUUCCUGUUUUCUCUUGGCAUACUGCAUAAACAAUGACUAUUAGGGUUUAUAAAUAAAAAGAAAUUCAAUCACAGACGACGAUAUUUUUCAUAACCGACGUAGUAUAUCUAUUCAACGACGGUAAUUUUACAUGACCGUCGUUGAUAAUACAAAAAACGACGUAAAAUGUAUGAAGGUAAUUUCUUCUUACCUUCUUCUCAAACGCCAAGGAAGGAUCCAUGAUGAUGUCCCUCAUGAAGCGCAUCACAUAAUACCCGCAUUCGACACUGCUGGGUUGCUUUGGUGUGCCUGACAGAGUUUUCCAAAUUACUGCUUUACGGCCUGAUCUGGCUAUGUGAGAAUUAUAUAUUUUUAUAGCACUGUUCACGAUGUUUUUGCCCUCUUCAUCGACCACACGAUUUCCGGGUAGAGGAUCUAGAAAAUAGACGGUUUCCCUCUUUGCUCUCACAAUCAGCAAGAUCCAAUGACGGCUGCACAAAAUUAAUAUAAAAACGACGGUUAUUUACAAAAACGACGUAUUAUAAUAUUUCACACGACGAAAUAAAGUAGCAAUCGACGACAUUAUAUAUUUAUCACGACGAUAAAUAACUACCGACGUGGUUAGUAGUUUCAAACGACUCAAUAAAAUAAAACACCGACGUGGUUAGUUUAUACGCUGUCAUUUAUUGAAAAUCAUAAAAACAAAAUCCUGUUAAGGAGACUAACCCUGGAUUGUAAGGCAUCAUGAAAAUCUGUUCACCAUCAGUCUUCUGAAGUCGAGCUGCUACCAAUCGUGAUCUGUCAGCUAUUGUCCCAGAGUUGGCACUAACUGUAGCAGGGUCGAUAAAGCCAACCAUGCUGCACAUAUUUGCUUGUUUCAAAAGAUCAUGUAAGUACCUAAAUAUAUAAAAUAAUAUAAACAAGUCAGCACAAAAAAACACACGACGGUUAUGUAUAACAAAACGACGUAUUAUAAAAUUUCACACGACGUACUGAAAUAGACAACGACGUUAUAAUAUAUUUAUCACGACGGUACAUACUAACGACGUGGUUAGUUAGUUAAGACGACGCAAUAAAUAAACCAACGACGUAUUAUUUUAGAAUGACAAACCUCAUAUAUACAGCAAUCACAGUAGCUCAUAUUUCUUCCGUGCUUGCAAAUUGUGUAAUAUCUUCAGGCAAGAUGAAGGUAUCGCGUUCUAGACCAAACACCUCCUUAUCAAUUGUAAAGUUCAUGGUCUUAUCCUGAGGUACGAGUGUCGUUUCCACAUAACGACAAAGGGAUUUUAAAGAAGAUGGCGCCUCCAUAUUUGAAUAAUCAACAACUUUAAUAACCUGUUUAAAGAAAUAAAAAAAAAUGACGUGGUAAUUCAAUAAAAACGACGGUUUAAGGAAUAAAACGUCGUCUGAAAAGAAUUUAAACGACGGUGAAAAAACCGUCGUGGUGAACAAUUUAUUACGUCUUAGAAAAAAAUUCCGCCGUCUAAGUUGUAAACAAACGACGGUUUAAAGAAAAAUAUCGACGUCUGAAAUUUUUAAAAACAAAUAAAAAAGGCAAAGUUAUGUGAACAUACCUGGUCGUCAUGCUUUUCUUCAUCUUCUUUCUCCUUUUCAUCUUGUUUUUCUUCUUUCUUCUCUUCAUCUUUUUUUUCUUCUUCCUUCUCUUCAUCUUUUUUUUCUUCAUUCUUCUCUUCAUCUUGAUUUUCUUCAUUUUUCUGUUUUAAGUAAUAAAGAAUGUAGAGAAAGUAAAAAAAUUAAAUUCAAACGUCGUGGUAAGACAAAACACAAGACAGUAUGUAAGAAUUAUGGACGUCUUAAAUUAUUAAACGAUGGUAAAUAGUAAACGUCGUGGGAUUUAUAUAUUACGUCGGGAAUGACUAACACCGUCGUCUAAAAACCACGAAGUUUUAAAAAUAACGACGUUUAAUGGCGUGUAAAACAAGUAAACUAAAUACGACGUGGUAUUGAAAUACAAACGACGGUUUAUUUUUAAAAUCGUCGUGGUAUGUAUUUCAAACGACGGUUUUAUUAAUAAUAACGACGUCUAAUAGUUUUAAAAAAAAAUAGAGAAUUCAAAGUUCAGAUAUGUUACCUUUUCUUCCUGAUGUUUCCCAUUUUUGGCAGUAUCAUCCUCAAAAUGUAGGGAUGUCACAUCACCUCCAGAGCAGCUUGCUUUGUCAGACAUUGGAUUUUUGGGACUUUGGCUAAUUCUUGGUUUAAGCAUGCUUGGAUCAAAAUUGGGAAUUAAUUGGGAAAGCUGACUCAGGAAAUGCUCCCUCUCAGCCUCUACCAAUUGUUUAGUUCUAACCUCCAUCCUUAAAGCCUCUUCCCUUGUUUAAAACAUUUCGACGUAGUAAUUUAAUACAAACGACGCGAAAAUGAACCACCGACAUCUUAUGCUAUAAUUACAGAAAACAGAGUAGUGAUUCCUGAUUUAGACCUUUAACGAUGUUUUUUAAAAACUUUCGACGUGGUAAUAUCAUUCACACGACGCAAAAUAUAACAUAAGACGUAAUAAGAAUUAUUCACAGUUUAAUAAAAAUUUAAAACAGAGUGAGUAGGCUUACAAUUAAUUUUGCUUUCUCUGCCACCUUUGGAUCCGGGAUGUUACCAUGUUUGUCCUGUCUAGCUCUCUUCCAUAUGGUAGAUCGAUCAAUUUCUACCCCAGGCAUGGUUUCCUCCAAUUGAUCCUCCAAACCAGCAUAUCCUUUUCGAGACAAUCGAUGAUUGUACUCAAGUUUCUCCCUAAUCUGUGCAUGUUGAGAAUGCACAGACUCAAAAUCUUUGGAUAACCUUGAAGCUACAAAGGCAUUCCAUUGUGCUUUCUCUAUGAAUUUAUAUGUUUCAGGGGUUGGCUUAAUCUCUCCCUGUCAUUGGUGUAUGGAAGGAUAUAAUGCCUCGUUAGUGUAGACUUGAAAUCCUUCCAUUUCUUGACAGCAGAAGCUAACACAGAGUUCUUGCCCCCUUGACCUACCACAAAAGCAAUGUCAACUGCUUCCCAAAUCUGCUCCUUUAUAUCCUUGGGGAUUUGAGCCCAUUUCAUGUCCACAAGUGAAACUCUGGAGCGUGCCAACACACCAAUGUAGGACUGCAUCUCACUAUGUGCUUGGUCAAUUCCUUUCCCCCUUUUAUUGUACUCAAAAAUUGGCCUGAGUUUCUGAAGUUUUUUCUUCACAACACGAGGCAUUGUGCUCAUACCUCAACCAGACUUUGAAUCAUCAGAGAUUGUUGUCGUGCUGGUUGGUUCUGUCUCAGCAGAUGAUGAAGCAAACUUCAUCUUCUUCGAAGACUUCUCUUGAGGAGUUACCAUUCCAAGCUCCUUACCUCCAUUUUUCUUAGAGCCAGAGUCCUUACUUUGGUCUUGAGAAACCAUUUUUACAGACAAAACUGCAAGUGAAAAUAUUUCAGGAAAAGAUUAAGAACACAAACGACGGUUAUUAAUAAAAUAAGACGUAUGAUAUGAUUUUAAACGACGCAAUGAAAUAAUCUCAGACGUAAUAAAUGUUUAAAACCAAGGUAAUUAAACAACGACGAAAUAAUAUAAAAUAAGGCGUAAUAAUAACUUAUUACGUCGAUAUUUACCGGAUGGCGUGAUAAUUAACUAUAAACGACGAAAUAUUUAUAUAACGUCGUGGUAUUGAUGUUCACACGACUUCAAUAGUAAUAUACCGUCGUCUAUAUAAGGAUCCAAAACCCUUCUUUUUUUCUCUGUGAAUGUUUGAUUGCAGAUUUGAUUUUUCUGAACCAUGGUUUUUGUUUUCUAAUUUGAUAAAAUACAAGGCCAAGAAAGAAAGUUUUGGAAUCUUAUAUAGACGACGGUAUUUUAAUAUGAUGUCGUGGUAUUAACAUUCACACGACGUAAAACAAUAAGAUACUGUCGUCUAUAUUAGAUACCAACCCUACUUUCUUUUUCUUUAUAUUUUAUCAAAUUAGGGAAAAACAAAAACCAUUGUUCAGAGAAAUCAAACCUGCAAUUAAACAAGCAAAUAAAAAAAAAGACUAUAAUUUUAAAAACAACUUUGUCAAUUUUCAGACGACGCUAGAACGACUGACGAACCGUCGUGGUCUACAUAUUUAACCACGUAAAUAAGAAGCUACCGUCGUCUUAUUUAGUUGAGGUAGUUGUCUUCAAAGUUGGAAACUUUCCCUCUGUCUGUAUAUUUUAUCAAACUUGGAAAUAAGUAAAAUGAUUUUGGCCAGAAAAAAGGUAAAAAGAUUUUUCAAACAAAAAACGUAUGAGCAUGCAUAACAGCAACCAAAAUAGUGAAAAUGAAAGCUUACCUUUUGCGUGCAAUGAAAGCAAGAAGAAGACGAUGUUUAAGUUCAGAGAUGACGAAGAAGACGAAAGGAAGACGAUGAGAUACUCUGACAGUGCUCUGACAAGGAAAAAAGUCAAAAAGUUUUCUCUGGGAGAUUGAAAUUUUUAAUCGGGUUUGGAAACAGUGCAUGUGUAAGUCAGGGAGACGAAAAGUUGCUUACAUAUAAAACCAUUUCAAAAAAAUAAUACGGCGGUUACAUAUAACUACGACGUAUAAAUUACAAAAUACGACGGUACAUUUAACUUCGGACGUGGUAAAUAAAUACGACAGUAGUGUUGUAGGUACCGUCGUAGUAAACUCAAAAAUUAAAGUACAUAAGUAAUAACUCGCGUCAUGGUAGAUUAUUUAACACGUCGUCUUUAUUAAUGUACCGACGUGGAUUUCUGUAAUAUACGUCGGUCAUACCGACGUUGAUUUUAUAAUUUAAACGGCGGUUUUUUUGUAAGGACCGCCGUUGGUUUUAAAAAUUUAUUCUAUAAAUUUGUCGCUUUCAUUCAUUUUCGGUUUACAUUUCGGGUUCCAAGUUCUUCCUCUCUCAGAGACACUGUCUCUCACAUCUCAAAGACAAUAAUUUGGAUGUCUUUCUCAAAGAGAAAUUGAGCUUACUCGCAUCAAAUCUAUGUCCACAAGAAGAAGCUUGUCAACUAGCCUUCUCACUUCCUUGAUCAAGCCUGAUAGGACACUUAGUGCUUCUGAAUACUCCUUGCUUUCCAUCAAAAGAGAUGCAAGCCUGGCCUCCACUCGCUGUCGAAGGAAAGUUCGCUUCUCAGGGAAAUCUGAAGAUCAGAUGUGCCUGAUCCUCUGCUUGAUUUUCUUGGCUAAGAAGAUCCGUCAGAUUUGUGAUAGCCUCUUCCUUUAUCCGUAGAGCUUCAGAAGAAGAAGAUGGGUUUCAAGAAUGCGAUAAAGAAUAGAAAUGGCUUCAGAUGGCCUCUAAAGCAUGAGCAAUCGAAUCAGUAGUUGCUGGGAGAUAUGAUGAAGACAUUGUCAAUGCUUUGAACUAUACAAGUCCUGCAGAAAGAUAAAGGACCAAACUAUUAAAGAAACUGAAACAACGGCGGUUUUCUGUUCUACCGUCGUCUUUUCUCGUCGUCUAUAUUAAGGUAAGAUGGCGGUAGAUUUAUAAUUACCGACGUAGAUUAUUUUGUUAAACGUCGUUAAGUGUACUACAACCGACGUGGAUUUUAUUUUUAAAUUAUAAAUAGAGUUUUUUUUUCCCGAAUUCUUUCAGUUUUAGUUUUCAAUUACAAAGCGUGAUAAAUAGAUUUUUCUUUCCCGAGGAAAUUUAAAAUGAGGGAAAUUAAUGUUCUAGAAUUUGUAAACUAACACGACGCAAUAUUACUAACCCGAGGAAAUUAUAAAUAGAUUUUGCUUUCCCGAAGAAAUUUUAAAUUAAUUCAGUUUGAAACAACGACGGUUUUUUGUUAUGCCGUCGUUUUUAACUAACACGACGCAAUAUUUGUUUUACGACGUGGAAUCUUUUCAUUUAACGUCGUUAGGUUUAAUAUAACUGACGUGGAUUUGAAUUUUUAAAUUAUGAAUAGAAUUUUUUUUCCCGUGACCUUUCAGUUUAUUUUUCAAUUACAGUGCGUUAUAAAUAGAGUUUUUUUUUCCGGAGGAAAUUUAAAAUGAAGGAAAUUAAUGUUCUGGAAUAUGUAAACUUUCUUUUUUGGAUGACAGAUUUAAAUAAAAUAAGAAUAUAAAAACAACGACUAUUUUUGUAUUACUAUCGUCGUUUUUCGUCGUCUUAAGUAAGACUAAGACGACGUAAUAUAUUUGUUGAGCGACGUUGAUUUGUUUUUUAAACGUCGUUAGGUAUAAUAUAACCGUCGUUGAAAAUUGUCUCUCUGAUUGCAAAUUUGCAACGACGUUAGGUAUAAUAUUUGUAGAUACACAAACGCACACACAUCAUCACUUCCAAAAAAUUGUCUCUCUGAUUGCAAAUCUGUGAAAUCUGUUAAGAUUAUGAUGUGGAACAGAGUUCCAUCUGGUAAGAUUUCGUAACCCUUGGGAUCUCAGACAAAUCUGAUUAUGUCGGCGGUCUUCUAUAUAAACCGUCGUGGUUAUUUCAAUUCUUGUCAUUAAGUAGAUCUACUGACGUAGGAUAAGAAAAUCAAAGAAAAAAAUAGUUAACAAAAAUUCUUAUUAAGACGACGGUUUAAAUUAAAGGUACGACGUAUAAAAUGAAUAAAUACGACGUUAAAUUUUAUUGUACGAUUUAAAGAUAACGUCGUAGAACUAUACGAGAAUGACGUCGAUAUAUUUAUAUUUUCCGUCGUUGUACAUUAAUUUAAUACGGCGAUAUUUUGUAUUUUAAAGCCGUGAAUUUGUUUGUAAUUAUACGGCGUCUUAUACGAAAACCUCGUCGUGUUAUUUUAUGAGUAAAAACGGCGGUUUUUAUUGAAAUCGUCGUCUUUACUUUCUACGUCGGUCGAUUCAUAACUUCUGCCGUUCUUUGUUGGCAUUGAUUUUACACUGCAGAAAUCUGUUUCAAAUAGACGUCGGUUGUUUAAUUAGGUACGUCGUUGUUUUUUAAUAGCCAUUUGAAUCUCCAUUUUUUAGUUGUCUAAGGUUGUAUUACACGACGGUGUUUUUAGAACCGUCGUCUUUUUAAAAAUCACGACGGUUUUCACUUAGACCGUCGUUGUUUUCUGGUCGUCUUUUUCACUUUUUGUAGUAGUGUUUGGUUCGCGUAGGUUCUUUAUUUUUCUUUGUUAAAUCCAACCAUAUAAAAACUAAAAUAUGGAUUAAGAGUUGGAAAGUUAUAGGUCAAAAAUGGGACAGAGGUCGAAACUGGAAAACCGAGGAAGUUCAUAAAUUCGUCUAUGACCUAAAAUGAGAUAAAAUUGUGGUAUCCUAGUGAUACAGAAGUGAUACAGUGGUGAUACAUAAGUGAUACAAAAUGUUGCUUGUGUUUAAUAUCCUGAUAGAUAACUUGUUUUGAAAAUAUAAAAUUAAAUAUUAAAGUAAUAUAAACUUUGACAGAAUCCAUAUUUGCUUCAAACUUUCUCAAUCAAUAACAAAAUUCCAACGAUACGCCUUCUUUCUUUUUGUAGCGCCACAAUUGAUGAUCAAGCAUGAUUUUCCAUAUUUAAACCCAAAUUUUCUGAUUUUGAAUUUUGUUCAUUUUCUAAAUUUCCUUCGUAGGAACAAGUUUAUAAUUUGUCCUACAUCAUUUCUCUUCUAAUUAAGUACGUAUCCCAAAUGUUAAAAAUAGAAUUUCAUAAAUAAAUAAAUUUUAAAAAAAUAAAAAAUUCGGUAUAAGUCCAAAAUCAAAAAUAGAAGUUGGAUGUAAUCCCCAUAUUUGUUGUUGUUGAUACAAGUCCUUUGACUUUUGUGCCACGUAUGAUUACAAUUAUUAUUAUUUUUUAUUUAUAUAUUAUUAUUUUCAUUUUUAAAUUACUGUCAUGCCUCUAAAAAUUAAUUAAGGUAAGAAAUUAAUUUUUGUCAUAAUAAUUAUGCUAUUGUCAAAAUGAUAUAAACGGAAAAUACUGCCACAAAUCACGUCUCCUAUAAGUUUUGAAAUAGCUAUUAUAUUUCAAUCAUGCUCCUAUAUGAAUGUUGGCUUUCUUUCUAUUGUGGCUUUGUAUUCUUGCACUAUGACAACUUGUACACAAGGUACAUAAAUAUUCUUUUACUCUUUGCCACAGCUUUUGUGACAGAACUCGCCCCGAAUUCCUCAAAACCCGAGACGAAUCCUAUGGAGAUUCUAACAUCACAUUGAUGACGGGCCCACUUACUAAUACUAUAGACUCUUUCCCAAACUAAAGAAAAGGGGCACGAGACUUUCUGCUGAAAUUUCAACAGAGUCUUCCCUGAAAAAUGGGUGUUUCCCAAAAAAAUUUCAACCUGCUAAAAUACAAUCAAAAUCAUCCCAACAGCAUCAUACACAAGAUAAUAACAUGUAAUUUACGUAAUAGGCCUUUGGCCUUCAAAUAAUUCGAAACAGAACUACCAGCAAUGCUCUUAAGUCAUAUAAUACAUUAAACAAUGCAAAUAAUGAACUCAAACAAAUUUAUGAAUGCCCACUGUAAUUAACAUAAAAUAACUUCCCAAUUUCCAUCAUGCGAUAUUUAACAUCCAAACACCAUCGCAAGUAGUUUAAAGCCUUAGCCCAAAUCGUACAACAAUCCAAAACGGGUUUCAUACCUGUCUUGGCUAGAAACACAUUUAAACAACACCCACUUAGUCAAACUAGAAUAUGAGUUAGUCAAACUGAAAUAUGAGUAAUCAUUUCAAUCACGCCUCAUUUUCAAUCGAGCUUCAGGACCACCAACAGAAUCAAAACUCAACUCAUCAAAAACAAAAGUAAAAAGACUAGAUCCAAAUGACUAGAUUAAAAUUUCAGAAAUAAACUUUAGCUCGAGGCUGCACCUAGGUAAGACCCCAGGCUACCUACAUACUACUUUGUGAAAGAUCAAGCCACACGUAGCUCUUAUUACAAAAAUCACAGUUCAUAUAACAUACAAUCAUUUUCAGUAAUACUAAUAAGUUUAUUCUAGAAUUAUCUUUGCCCUUAAGUUUAAAUCACAUCAUACCAAAUAUAAUCCUUUUUAAACAUUAAUCUUUUCUCGACAUAUAGUAUAAUAAUCUCUUUAUCCUCUUCCUGUUACUUUACUACACGUCGGAGAGUCCAACACCACGCGUAGUAAAGUAAUAGUAGCCCAAGUGUACAAAUCAUUUACCACACGCUGUAAAGUCCAACGCCACGUGUAGUAAAGCAAUCAGUGUCCCAAUGAGCUCACACGCCGGAAUAUCCAACGCCACGUGUGACCCAACCAACCAUGUUCCAUGUGCACAGACUGCUUUAUCACACGUUGGAUAAUCCAAUGCCACGUGUGAUAAGCUAAUAACAUAACCAUUUAUGCCCAUACGCCAGAUAAUCUAACACCACAUGUGGGUACCAUAAUCAAGGGAGGGUACUUAGCGUGGGGUAAUCCCAGAUUCACAUAACCAAACAAUAAGGUAGCCCAUCUUAUGUUAAUCUCUUGUCAUUUAUUUAAUCCAUAUUCAAAUUAAUUAUAAGCCUCAUUAACCGAAAUACCCCUUUACCAACCUUCAGUAAACCAUUUCGAUUUUAUUCAAAACACUAAUCAAAUACUUAGGAAUAAACAAUCUCUGAAAAUUCCCUAAGACAAGAUAAUAAAAUCCAAAACACCGUAUCUUACACCAGAGUUACAUAAUCUUUUAUAAAUAAUAUUAAUGGCACUAAUAAUAAUAAUAAUAUUAAUAUUAAUAAUAACAAAAUAUAAACGGGAAGUCUCUUGUGACACGAGACUUCCCGUUUAUAUUUUCCCAAAUUAUAUAUAUAUAUAUAAAUACUAUUCCCUUCCUAAAUUAAAAUUUUCCAAAUAUUUAUUUCUAGUAUAGAAAAUAAACUCUCAAGCCUAUAUUCCAUAAAGGCCCAAAAUAAUUCAAAUAGAAAUCAAAACUUGUGUAUGCUUAACUUCCAUAAAAUACUAUAUUUCAUAAUUAAAACAAUAGACUUUCGUAAAUAAUCCGAUAUCACCCAGUCCAUAUACUUUAAUAAUAAUCAUAAUAAUAAUAGUUAAUGAUAAAUAACAACCUUUAGAGAUCCCAUAUCCUCAUUAACCCAUAUUAAAUCAAUUUUCAAUCCAAAACUCAUUAUGCAAGAAAUUCCAUAUUAGAAUAACGAUGUACACUUAAAAACAAACAUCCAUUUAUUUACUAAUAAUCAUAGCCGAGACCCAAGACUCGCUUUCAUAACCCAUCGGCCAAGUAUCUCAUACUCAUCUAUUCCACAACUUCAAGUAUCAAACUAAUAAUCCAAGAAUUUUAGUCAACAUAACUCAAAUAAUAUUCAAGACUCCUUAAUAAGGUCGAUCUAGUACUCCUCGAAGGAUGAGACUACCUCAGAAGACUCAUGGUCAACCGAGGGGUCAAACUACCCAAACUGGUCAAUCGGGCCUCGGGGCCCACGACCUCAGAUUAUCGAUCCGAAAGUUCCUAAGGAUUCAACAAGAUUUAUUAGACAAGUCCCGCAAGUUUGGUCUGGAUCGUUCGCGAUCGCACGAUCGGAUGUUUAUUGUUUAAUGCAAACUUUAAGUCGUUGAAUCGGCGUAUCCGAGACUCUGAUUCACAAUCCACGAAUUCAUACAUAAUCUCAUAAAUGCCCAAAUCAACACAUAUUAAUUUGGAGUUGAUUCAACAUAUCGAACCCGGAUAACGCAUAAUGUGCGAUAUCUAAUCAAUUAUCAAACGAUAACCAAAUUCAAGUCCAAGCAUACCAUCAUGCUCGGACGACAUUGAGGUUAUUUUAGGACUCAAGGACCAGCCACAAGGUGGCCCACACGCCGGCAGCGUGUGAGUGUUCAAAGUGAUUUCGGUGAUCAAAAAUUCUCUAAACCGCCGGUCAAGACUUAUGCCUACAUGAUCAGGACAUUGAGUGGAGCAACUUUUGUUCUUUGACCUACCCCAAAAAGUGACCAGAGGUAGCUGGAAUCACGGGCCGAAACUGGCCAAAACUUCUAUCACUUAAUUGACAUCCAAAAUGGGGAAAUUGAUCCUAAAUAACCAACCAGCAGCUAGAUCACAUUGAGAGGAUGGAAAAUCAUACAUGGAUCGCAAGAUUUGGUUGCUAGAAUCGUUCGAACGAGCUCCGAAAAUUUUAUGUAAAAAUCUGGCCGUAUUUCUACAAAUUCCUGCGGCGGCGUUGGUUGUCGGCGAGGCAAAGAUAGGGUGGAACAAAGAGAGGAGACCACAGUGGUCCUUUUGGGACCCAUUCCACCCAAAAUUGUGGCUGGCUAAACAUGGCUGGUUGUUCAAAAAAUAUCGGGGGUGGGGUUCUGUUCGCGACGAGGGAGAGUUUGAGAGAGAGAGAGAGAGAGAGAGAGAGAGGUUCUGAUAUUCAAAAAAAAAAUCAACGUUGAAAAAAUUACAAUUGUGCCACUGAGCUUCUCUUAGUCGCAACUCCUUCGUUCCAACUCUGAUUCGAGGCCACUACGUGUCUACGAACUCAUCUUGGCACGAUCUAUGUAAUGGUGUCAAACAUUCCCUAGAAUCCUUCCAAUUAAAAAGUGACCAAAUUACCCCUACCUCUAGGGACAAAAUUGAAAUUUCAAAAUUAAUUAAAUUAACGAAUAAUUUUAUUUUGGGUCAGUGUGUUACAUUUUGUUAUUCACUGAUUUUGUUUGUUUGUUUUCCUCUUUGAUAAUACAAUUCCUCACUGAUAUUGUUUGUUUGUUUUCUUCUUUAAUAAUACAAUUCCUCAUUGUUUUACUUUUUAUUUUGUUUAGCUCACUUUUUUUCUUCACGUUUUUGUUGCUGUAAAGUUCAUUCCCACGUAAUAUCUUUAAUUAAGAUGCAAUUAACCAUUAACACAAGUGGAAUUUGUGUUUUCCCGCCAUGUCAUUUUCGAUUCCUUUGUUUCUUGAUAUUUAAUUAUCUUCCAGUUUUUCCUUUUUUUUUUCCAUGUUUUUGUUGUGGUGUUUUACAAUUAUUGGUUGUCUCACUCAAAUUCACACAUUUUAUCUAAAUCUACAUGUUUAUCAAGUAUAGUAGAGUAUACUACUUAUGUGGUAGGUACAUUAUGUUAUAUUUACCUAGUAAUUAGGUGUAUGAUUUUAUAUUUACCUAGUAUUUAGGUACAUUAUCUUAUAUUUAUCUAGUAUUUAGGUACAUUAUCUUAUAUUUACCUAGUAUUUAGGUACAUUAUCUUAUAUUUAACUAAUAAUUAGGUAUACUAUAUCAUAUAUACCUAGUAGUCAAAUAAAUAUUCGUUGGGAAGAUAUCAUCAAUAAUUCUCCUACUUUCACUGUUUUAUAUGAACUUCUUUUAUGUCAUGACGGCAAUAGAAGUAUUCAAAAUUCAAAUUUUGAAAUCUAUUUAGAAGGAAAGAACAUUAAUUUGGAUUUUCAGUUAAUAUUCUUUCUUUAUUUUUCUUAAAGGGUAAAACUGACAUAUGAAAAAAUUAAUAAAAGUCAAUAGACCCAAAUAUACAGCAAAAAAAGUGUGUACUAAAUCUAACGAUGACUAGGAAUUUUAGGGCUCGUUUGGUACACAGGACUGUCUUGGCAUGGACUAUGCUUAGGGACUGGCUUGGCUUGACUUGGCUUGGUCUAAGUUGGAUAACACUUAUCUUACGUUUGGUGUAUGCUUGGAUUAGGACUAUAAUUUUUUUAUUUUUUCAAAAAUAUCUAUAUAUAUGUAUUUUAUAAUAUAUAAAAUAUAUAUGUAUAUAUACAAUUACAUACAUAUGAUAUAUACAUAGGUGUAUAUAUGUAUAUUAUAAUAUACAUGGGUAUAAUACAUAUACAUAUAUUUAUAUAUAUGUAUGUAUAUUAUAAUAUAUAAUAUAUAUAUAUGGGUAUGUUGUAAUAAUAAUAAUAUACAUGUAUAUACGUGUAUAUACGUAUAGUAUAUAUGUAUGUAUAUAUACAUAUACAUUAUAUAUAUUAUAAAAUACAUAUGUAUAUAUAAUAUAUGUAUAAUAUAUGUAUAUAUAUUAUAUAUUAUAACAUGGGGGUGGAUCCGUGGCACCAUGUUUUUGACACAAGUUUUGACACAAAUUUUAAACCCUUAGAUUAGACUACAAUAAAUGGCUGAGAUUAAAUAAACUAAUUCUUUCAACUUAAAAUAAUUAUAAUUUAAUUUAAUUAACUUUGCUAUUCAAUUUUCUCUCUCCACAUUUAUAUUUUCACUUCUUCCUAAAAGCAUCAACAUUCUAUCUCACGACAUCUUCUUCUUCUUUUUCAUGACUUUCCCUUUUUUUUACUUCUCUCUUCUUUUUGCCCACACACUAUUUUCCUCCAUAACAAGAAACAACGAACCCAACCCAUAUAGCAAAAUCAAAUACCCAGUAGGGAAGAUUGACGUAGGGAGGAGGAAGGUUGAUCUUUGUAAUUUUUUUUUUCGUUUUUUUUUUCUGGUGCUGCUAAAUUAAAACCUCUAUUUCCCCUUGCUGAGAAAAACAAAAAAAGGAUCAAGCAGUUAGUUGAUUGAGAUUCAUUUUGAUCAUCCCCAAUGAAAUUUCAAGAACCUAAGAGCAUGAUUACCCUGCCCUCCAUGGAACUCCCCCAAAUUCGUUUUGAUUCUGAGUGGAGAGAAAGUAAUUGCAUAUAACUAGCAGUAGGCAAAUGGAGAUUUUUGGCACAUCGAGGCUGUGGAGGAGAUUACGCUGGGCAUGGAGGAAGGGGGAUGUAGAAUUUGGAGACAGUCCAAUUCAUAAUUAUUAGAUUAAAAUAAUAAUAAUUAGAAUAAAUGUAUUAUUUCCAAGAUAAUAAUAAAUUAGCUGUGAGAUUUAAUCUGAGUCAUUAAUAGUGCUUAAAUCUAAGGGUUCAAAAUUUGUGUCAAAAGUUGUGUCAAAAAUAUGGUGCCACGGAUCCGCCCCCUUAUAACAUACAUAUAUAUAUGUAUAUACAUGUAUAUAAUAUAUGUGUAUAUAGGUGUAUCUAUAUAUUAUAAUAUAUAUAUGGGUAUAAUACAUAUAUAUAUAUAUAUGUAUAUUAUAAUAUAUAUACAUAUAGUAUAAAUAUAUAAUGUAUAUGUGUAUAUACGUGUGUAUAUGUAUAUUAUAAUACAUACAUGGGUAUAAUAUAUAUACACAUAUAUGUAUAUUAUAAUACAUACAUGGGUAUAAUAUAUAUACACAUAUAUGUAUAUACAGAGAGCUUCCAUUGAGGGAUCCCUCAAAUAAGCUUAUUUGAGGGACACUCCUUGUAGGCCCCACUCCGGACUGUAUUUCACUAAUCCAAACCGUCUAUUUUGUAGAUACUCAUUCAAAGAUCAUCCCUACAAAAAAUCACUUGAAUCCGAUAUCAUUUGACCACUCAAUUAAGUUAUUGAAAUUUUAGCAUUUUCUUGAAGUACCGUGUUCAUUGAUUUUGUAAGACACAAUUGGAUGUCGAAACGGUUUUCAAUUUGUCUAAUUUUUUGUAAGGAUGAUCUAUGAAUGAAGACCUAAAAAAUAGAUGUUUGGAUCAUUGGGAAAAAAAUUGUAGGGUACCCUAAAGGGCGUCCCUUAAAUAAUUUUAUUUGAGGGAUCCCUCAAUAGAAUGGGACUGUAUGUAUAUAUACUUAUAUAUAUAUAUAUUACAUAUAUUCAUGUAUGCUAUUAUUAUAAUAUUAAUAUGUAUGUGUAUAUGGGUAUAUUAUAAUAAUAAUAUACGUGUAUAUAUCUAUAUGUAUUUAUAUAUUAUAUAUGUAUGUAUGUGUUUAUAUAUAUAUAUAUACGUGUAUAUAUGUACAUUAAUAUAUAACAUAUUAUAUAUUACAUAUAUACAUGUAUACAUGUAUGCUAUUAUUAUAAUAUUAAUAUGUAUGUGUAUAUGAGUAUAUUAUAAUAAUAAUAUAUGUGUAUAUAUCUAUAUGUAUUUAUAUAUAUAUUAUAUGUAUAUAUGUGUUUAUAUAUAUAUACAUGUAUAUGUGUAUAUAUAUAUGUAUAUAUGUACAUUAUAGUAUAUGUGUAUGUAAUAAUAAUAAUAAUAAUAAUAAUAUAUGUUAUUAGUAUUACAAUAUAAUAUAUGCAUCUUGUACAUUGGUGAACAUAGGACUAGCUAAUCUUCCCUUUCUACAUGGGCUUAGUAGUCCCCUUCUAAUGAGGUGUUUUUGGUGGGCCCGGUAUUAGCAAUCUCAUCUAAGACUAGAAUUAAAUGAAACAAACAUGGUACUAAAUUUAGUCCAAACCAGUCCAAGCCAAGAUUGUGUACCAAACGACCUCUUAGACUCAGAUCAAAAAACUCCUAAAAAAAAUCAUAGGUGGAGACAAAGCUUUCUAAUAAACGUGACAACGUGUACAUUAUUACAGUCCCCAAUUUGUUCUUCACGUCCACUGCGAACCCGAAAAAUAAGUUACGCAGUUGUCAAAGUCUCUCUAUUAUCUUGACUUAUGUUGUUGAUCAAGAAUCUUGAAUGGAGAGUACGUAUAUAUGGAGCCAAAAGCUUGACUUGGAAAAGUCUUUGAUGAUGACCAUAUGGCCCCACUUGUGCAAAAGAUAUUCCACUCAGAGAUCCACACUCAUAACAUAUCCAUGUAACUCUCCCCCCCUUUACUUCUCUUUGCUAAUAACCCAAGCAUCAAACAGACACGUUGAUACAAUUCCCAUGAUGAAACCAAUUCUCAGCAAACCUCUUUACUUUUCCUUGUUUGUGCACCUGAUCAUUGUCACCGUGUUCGCAGCCAGCGAUCCGCAACCUGUCUACUCUCCGGUUGAAGAUAUCACCGUUAAUUGUGGCUAUUCCGGUGACAAGAUCGGUGAAGAUGAUGGCCGAAAUUGGAUUGGAGAUAUCAACUCAAAAUUUUCACCGUUUGAACACCAAGCAGUCGGUAACAAAUCCGAAUCCAAAGAAGCACCUCAUUCGUACACCUUCAAACCGGUGCCUUACACCACAGUGCGGCUUUCUCGCUCUGAAUUUACUUACAGUUUUAAACUCAAUAGCGGCCAGAAGUUCAUCCGCUUGUAUUUCAACCCAGUUUCCUAUGGCCCGGACUUUGACCAAUCCAAAGCCCUCUUCUCAGUCAAAGCAGGGAACUUUACCCUUCUCCACGACUUCAAUGCUUCAGUCACUGCCGAAGCUUUUAAUUUUACCAAAAUAAUAUACAGGGAGUUCUGUUUGAACAUUGAUGAGGAAAAGAGCUUGAACAUCACAUUUACUCCGAGCAGAACAAUCCCAGAUGCGUAUAGCUUUAUCAACGGAAUUGAAAUUGUGUCCAUGCCCACCAAUCUUUACUACAGUCCGCUUGAAAUGGAAAGCGCCCGUCAGAUUAAGACAGUUGGUUCCGGAACCAACUUUCGCAUCGAAAACAGCACUGCUCUGCAGAUGGCGUACCGAAUAAACAUUGGCGGCAAGUCGCUAUUGUUCAAAGAAGACACAGGCAUGUACCGCAAUUGGGAUGAUGGUGAAAUGGAGCAAUAUUACUUGGAAGAUUUAAGUGUUACGAGAAGCGUUAGACCACAAAACGUUAGUACUCAACUCAACUUUUCUGAAAUACCAGCGUACACAGCACCAGAGGAAGUGUACCGAACGGGCCGGUCGAUGGGCAGAAACGAUACCCUAAACAAGAGCUACAAUCUCACCUGGCGUUUUCCCUUAGAUUCCAAGUUUUAUUACCUGGUUAGGCUCCAUUUUUGUGAGUUUCAACAUGCAAUUAGCCAGACUUACGACAGGACGUUUGCAAUCUACAUGGACAAUCAAACUGCUGAAACAAAUGCUGACAUAAUUCAAUGGAGUCAUGGAAAUGACAGACCAGUGUACAAAGACUACGUGGUAUUUAUUCCUGAAGGCCACGAGUAUCUUUUUCUCGCACUGCGUGCAAAUCCAAAUGAUCAGACGACGACAUACAGCGAUGCACUCUUGAACGGGCUGGAAAUCUUUAAACUUGACUCACAAGGAAAUCUCGCCGGACCAAACCCAGUUCCACCUCCUAUGAUCCUACCAAAGGGGCCCUCAAAACCCAACAGCAACAACAAGAAGUCAAGGCCUCCUAUGCUUGCCAUUGUCGGUGGUGUUGUAAUUUCCAGUACACUUGCAGCGCUAUGUGCACUCGGGUUCUUGGUUUUCAGGCAAAGGCGGAAAGCCAAGGAGUCCGACCGCUCCAGCCACGGAAAGACGAACUCAACCAACACUCGCGACUCAUCUUUACCCUCCGAAUUGUGUCAUCGCUUUUCACUAGCCGAGAUCAAGGCCGGCACCCAAAACUUCAAAGAUAUUUGUAUUAUUGGGCGUGGCGGGUUUGGCAACGUGUAUAAAGGAUACAUCGAUGAUGGAGGCACCCCCGUUGCAGUCAAAAGGCUGAAACCAGAGUCGUCACAGGGGGCCCUCGAGUUCAAGACAGAGAUCGAGAUGCUCUCUCAACUCCGCCACCGUCAUUUGGUUCCACUCAUUGGGUAUUGUAUGGAUGAAGGUGAGAUGAUCUUGGUGUAUGAAUACAUGGCACAUGGGACCCUCAGAGACCAUCUUUACCACACAGAUAAUCCAACUCUUUCUUGGGAAGAAAGGCUUCAGAUUUGUAUUGGCGCAGCAAGGGGAUUACACUACCUUCAUACCGGUGCCAAGUAUACCAUCAUCCACCGUGAUGUAAAGAGCACAAACAUCUUGCUAGAUGAAAAGUGGGUGGCCAAGGUUUCGGAUUUUGGGUUGUCAAAAAUGGGCACAAUCACUAUGUCCAAGACCCACAUCAGCACGAUGGUGAAGGGUAGUUUUGGGUAUCUAGAUCCCGAAUACUACCGCCGUCAACAACUCACUGUGAAGUCUGAUGUGUACUCAUUUGGUGUAGUCUUAUGUGAGGUAUUGUGUGCGAGGCCAGCUUUGAUUCGUACGGUGGAGAAGAAGCAAAUGAGCUUGGCUGAGUGGGCCAAGAACUGUCACCGAAAUGGGGCACUUGAGCAAAUCAUUGAUCCGAGCUUGAAGGGUAAGAUUGAAACCCACUGCUUCAAUAAAUUCGCCGAGAUUGCAAUGAGCUGCCUGCAUGAUAAUGGGAUUGAAAGGCCAUCAAUGAAUGAUGUGUUGAGCGGGCUUGAGUAUGCAUUGGAGCUUCAACGGAGCGCUGAUAGGGAUAUCAUCAACAACACUAACACUGGAAGGAAGAAGGAAGAUGAGGUUGCUCUCACCAAGAACAUGCAAGGGUUUAGUUCUAGUGAGAAAACUUGUGCGACCAGUGAAUCCAUUACAGGGAUGUCUGGGACAUUGUUUUCCAAGAUCAAUGAUUCGGAAGGCAGAUGAUGAUGAGGAGCAUUAACUCACCAAAUAAUCUGCCUAAAACCGUGGCAUGGCAUGGAAUAAAUGACGAAAGCAGUUAGUGUCACAAAGAUCAGAUGAUGUUUCUCACUCAUUCCCUCAUUACUAUUCUUAAUUUUUAGGUCAUGUUUUCAUCUGCCUCUUUAAAAUUCGAGUUGUUAUUUUGAAUUUUGAGGUGAUUUGAGAGGUUUAUUAUUAUUUUUUUUAAAUAAAGAAAGAUGUUAUACUAGCAAGACUUUUUUGUUAACAAAGAAAGAUGUUUUUGGGAAUUUGAGGUGUCACUUACAAGACUUUUGUUAACAAAAGAAAGAUGGGCUUGUUCAUAUGAAAAAAUAAAUAAAAAAAGAUGGAAUUAUUUUAAUGAGAAAAAGAAAUAAAGUUUGAUGUUCAUAACUUCAUAUAAGACUGGUUUGUUUUGAUAGUUAUGAACCUCCGAAGAUAAAUUUAAGGGUCCAUGUCCAUCUCACUGUGGAUCACAUAUUAUAUAUCAACUAGUAUGAUAUAAAAAGAGUGGACAGCUUCUUUCAUUUUUGUUUUUUUUCUUGACCAAAGAAAGAAUAUAUAGUAGAACUUUAUUUUUCCUUGACAGUACGAAGUGGACUAGUCACACAAUGGAUAAGAAGGGCCAGAAGCUGUGGCCUCCGCUGGCCUAAGAAAAAUAAGGGCUAGAAGAAGAGAAAUAAUCUGUGCCAAGCAAUCGCACUAGCAUUAUUGAUUCCCUUUUACAUAUAUCUCUGUCAAUUACUGCAGCCGACAAAACCAUGUGUGUGAAAAUGAUCAUAAAACUCCAAAACCCUGCUGUCUGUUUGUGUUGAAUUAUCAACGCACCACCAGCACCACGCGAGGACUUCCAUAAGUUAGCAAGCUACUGCUAGCUUUAUAAUAAGAGUCGCGGGUGUUGUACAAACCUGCAGUGCGAGAGAAAAUAAUUAACAAGGAGGAAGGAGCUGGGAGCUGCAGGUGUGAAGAUGGGUCACCGAUCUCAUUCAGUAUCUCUAAUACUGUCGGUGACGGUGAUGGUAAUGGCCAUGUCGACGGAGCUGCCCAUCACAAGCCAUUGCAUGAUGAUGAACAAGAGCAGCACUCCCUUGAUCAACUGGUCUAAUAAUUCCCUGGUCGAAUUUAAAUUUGACCGAGACCUGCUUAAUAACAACAUUGACGGAGCACAGGGUGAAUCGGACUUGGGCUUGGCGGUCGUCAUGCACAUGGUGGAUUCAGAAGAAACUAGCAGAAGGCUCUUGACAGCCGCUCGGUUUAGUUUUGCAAUACAUAGUCUACAAGGUAGCAGCACGUUUUGUUCGAAGCAAGGCUCCCAGUAUGAUGGUUGCCUUGCUCAAAAAAAUAUCCCCACCCAUAACAACUGUCGCGGUGCUGACCCGUACCGUAAGGACUGCCCACACUAACUUGCCGCAAUACGUACGUAUUCUGCUUCUUGUUAGAGUCAUGCAAUAUUACACUAGUUUCAUUUCUGGAUGUAAUUAAUUAAGUGGGGAUGGACGACACUUGUAGACUGGUCGGCUCUGCUUGAUUUGGUUAUGGACCAUGUCUUAAUUAAUUAAAUAACUAAUAUGCUGUUGUUGCUUGCCUUAGUAGAUAAAAAAAUCUGUAUAUCAUGGCGAUAUUAAUGUGUUUUUUUAUUGUACUCGUAUAAUGUUGGAGUGUAUAUAUGGACUUCACAAUUGCGUGCAGUCUUGAAAAUGAGUUGUAAAUUGUGAUAUGGUGUAAAAACGAACAAAAGAAAUAAAAACAGAGAGUGGUGAGUAUGAUGAAAAUCUAAUAAAAGUUACUUAUUACGAUUAGACCAUGGAAGUCUUCCACAAGAGCAUAUCCAUGCAGCAUCAUUGAAUUUAUAUUGUCAGCCAUUGAAUUUACUUUAACAAAAUCAGACGGCUAAGAUUAAAAGAGGAAAGAAAAGGAUCUGAUAUUUUUAUUUAUUAUAGGAUCAGUAUACCCAAAAGCAAGUCUUUGAUGCUUGAUGAAAAAACAAACCAGAUAUUUAGUCAUAUAUUUAUUCUUAGCACUAAAAUUAUAAAUAAAUUCCACAUCAUUUAAUCUUUAUAAAUAAGUCCGAAAAAACCCCAAACAAUGACUGCUUGCCUUAUUGAAUUUAAUUUUGAUUAUUAAAUUAUUUUGAUACCCUUUUGAGUGUUUUGGGCUUUGUUAUGAGGUUUUUGGGUUGGGUUUGUUUUAAGAAAUUAAUGACAAUUUUGUAAUUUAAAAAAAGUUAAAAGUCUUUUUAUUAUGUUGUAAAUGGGCUUUGAGUAUGUUUUUAAAGUCCAUUUCAUAUUUAAAAAAAUUUAUAAUUUGAACUCCUAUAUUCCAUAUAAUAAUGAAUCUUCCAAAAAGAAAAUGGAGACUUUGGAAAAAUCCAAAGGAGAGAGAAAUUUUUUAAAAGAAGCUAAAAUAGACAAAAUUACCCUUACUUAUUUUUUGAUUUCUUAAGGAAUCCUUUACAUUUGCAUUUCUUUGAUUUGAAAAUUGAGAUGUUUUUUUGUUUUUGUUUUUAAAAACUUUGGUUUUUUUCAAAAAUGAAAGGUUUUUUUGUGAUUAAAGCUUAAAUUUACUAAAAGGAAAAAUGCAAGUCUUUCAUCCAUAUCCCACUCCAAGUUGUGCAUACAAUCUAAAAUGUAACGACAACUAGAAGACCAGCUCAGCUGAUUAAAAUCAUUGGACGUUUUGGUCAAGUUGUGCUUUUCAGAAAAGAAAAGAAAACCAACUUGCUUUUACAUUUCCACGCAAUUUCUCACAAAAAUUAUGCAUCUCUUUGCCCUUUUUUCGGGUAACUGGAAAAUAUCAGGCAUCUCAAUGAUAAAAGGAGACCGACAACCAUACGCCUACCUACCAGACACGUCAACACAUGACGAAGAAAUGGUAGCACUGAAACAAUAGAAAGCUUAUGCCUGAAUUAUUUUAUGUUGACGAACAUAUAUUUUUUUUUAAAAUAUUUUUUUUAAAGCAAAAGAAAGCUUAAAGUAUACACCAAAAAGAAGAAAGCUGAAAGCUUUUUAACUUUCCUCCACCAAGAAGAUGGAAAAGAAGAAACUCUGAACUUUCAGAGAACACCAUUCCGUAAGCUUAUUCUCCAUAUGAAUACAACGACACUUGAUAGAAGAAGACUUUCCAAAUUCUCAUUUGAAAAUUAAACAGGGCAAUCUCUCUGUUAUGUUUCAGCAGCUUCCCUGUUUCUCAUUUGAUCAUCAUCCUUCUCCUCUUAAUCAACACCUUAAUUAUCUUCUGAUCUUUCUCUUCUAUUAGAUAUCAUCAAGAACCCAAUUAGCAGCAAACACCUUUCCAAAUCAAUAACCAUGAAGAAACUCCUUCUCCCUCCUCUGCCUCUCUACCUCCUUCCCCUGUUUCUGCAAAUCGCCACCCUACUCUCUGCACCUAUCUACACUCCAGUCGAAGACAUCACCAUCAACUGUGGCUCUUAUGGAACCUCACCCAACAUAUAUGACAACCGGAAUUGGACUGGAGAUAUCAACUCAAAAUUCUCUCCCUUUGAAUUGCACCAAGAUAACACCAACACCUCAUCCCAAGUCAGAGAAGCACCUCCCUCCUCUGUUAGCCAAGUACCCUACACCACAGCUCGGCUUUCUCUUUCCGAAUUUAGUUACAAAGUUCCCCUCUCCACCGGGCAGAAAUUUAUUCGUUUACACUUCCACCCAGUUUCAUAUGACCCCGGCUUCGACCGAUCCAAAACCCUCUUCUCUGUCCAAGCAGGUGGCUUUACCCUUCUCCAUGAUUUCAAUGCUUCUGUAACUGCUGAUGCUAGUGAGACUGAGACGCUAAUAAGAGAGUUCUGUUUGAAUAUUGAUGAAGGACAGAGCUUGACCAUCACGUUCACUCCGAGCAGAGCAAUCCCAGAUGCUUAUGCCUUUGUCAAUGGGAUUGAGAUUGUGUCCAUGCCCACCAAUCUUUACUACACUGCAUCCGAAAGCCAUGGAGUUGAUUAUGUAGGCAACGAAGUCAAUUAUCGCAUCGAAAACAUCACGGCGAUGGAGAUGGUGUACCGAAUAAACGUCGGUGGAAGUGCACUCUCUUUCGACCAAGACACUGGGAUGUACCGCAAUUGGGACAGUGUAGUAGACGAGCAAAAGUACUUGGAUGAUUUGAGUUCCAGGUGGACUGUUCUUCCACAAAACGUUAGCCUUCAACUCAACUUUGUGAAAAUACCAGAGUACUCUGCUCCACAAGUAGUUUACCAAACGGGCCGGUCCAUGGGCAGCAACCACACCCGAAACAAGAGCUACAAACUGACCUGGGAAUUUCCCGUAGAUCCCAUGUUUCUUUACCUGCUAAGGCUACAUUUCUGUGAGUUUGAGCCUGAAAUUAUGGACACUGGGGACCGAUCGUUUCUAAUCUAUGUGGACAACCAACUUGCUGAGCCACAAGCCGACAUAAUCAUGUGGAGUGGUGGAAAUGGGAGACCAAUCUACAGGGACUACGUCGUGUUCAUGCCUGCAGGCGCUGAUCAGAAGAAAGUUAAGCUCUUUCUUGCACUGCAAGCAAACCCAAGAGAUUGGAUGACUAAAUACAAUGAUGUACUCUUGAACGGCCUUGAACUCUUCAAACUAAGUGAUACAAAUGGUAAUCUCGCCGGACCAAACCCCGACCCACCUCCACCAAAGCCGGUGCAGCUGAAAACCCCCUCAAAACAGUCGAAGAAGAAGUCAACUCCUAUGCUUGCCACCGUUGCUGGUGCAGUUUCCGCCAUACUCGUAUUAUUCUGUGUCCUCGGAUUCUUGGUUUUCAGGCGAAGAAGAAGAUCCAAGGAUACUUUUGAUGUACUGUCCGGUUUGUGUCGUGAGUUUUCAUUGUCCGAGAUCAAAGCCGCCCCCAAAAACUUCAACCAGGAUUUCAUUAUCGGUGUUGGUGGGUUUGGCCACGCGUACAAAGGGAGCAUCGAUCAGGGCACAAACCCAAGUCGCAACAUAGCGGGGCAGGAGAUUCGAAUUUGAGCGAUAAGAUGAAGGGUGAAGAUGACGUGUGGCUAAAGAGUGAGAGUGAUGCAGGGUUUAUUAGUUGUAGCUGGGAAGAUUCGUCGGAGAUGAAGGAGAGCAGAGUGACCAAACCAAGUAGUCAGCACAAUUCUUCUACUAACGAAUCCAUGAAAG
Molecule: long non-coding RNA, 88938 nt
Filed under: Prunus persica (peach)
Lineage: Eukaryota; Viridiplantae; Streptophyta; Magnoliopsida; Rosales; Rosaceae
Description: long non-coding RNA (PPER_LNC003871)
Source: RNAcentral